Molecule: long non-coding RNA, 71999 nt
Filed under: Lactuca sativa (garden lettuce)
Lineage: Eukaryota; Viridiplantae; Streptophyta; Magnoliopsida; Asterales; Asteraceae
Description: long non-coding RNA (LSAT_LNC006789)
Source: RNAcentral
CUAGACUUAUCCAAGUGGGAGACUGUUGGAAUAGUGUCUAAGGCUGUAACUAUAUUAGGCAAGUAUUUGAUCCGGUUGUGCAUGGUCCUUUUGGGUUGCCUUCACCAUAGCAACUUGAUAGGAUGAUUUAUUAAGAGAGAGUAAAUAUUAUUAAUAUAUUAUGAGAAUAAUAUAAUGAAUAAUAUAUUUGUUAUUUGAUUAAUAUAAGUCAUAGAAUUAAUUAGAAUUAAUUUGGUGACUUAAAGAGAUUAAUUAAAUAAAGGGGUAUAAACUGUCAAUUGUUUGAUAGUUAAGCUUUAGACUGUAAAUCCAUUUGGAUAUGCUAUGGACGAAUUCUAAGAGGAUUAGGAUAGCUAAAAUCGUCCAUUAGAGUUAUCUAGGAAUGGAUUUGGAUAGCCUUAAGAGAAGAUUAUCUGAUAGGGACUUAUCUGUAAUCCUUAAGGAGUCUACAAGUAUAAAUAGACCCCAUGGCAUAGGGAAUUCGACACUUCUGAAAAAGCAAGAGAACUCUGGUCGAAUUCCUCCCCUCUCCUCUCUCCCAAAUCAUCCUCCUUGCUUUGGUGUUUGUAAGCCAUUAGAGGAGUGACAUUUGUGACUCUAGAAGCUCCAAGACCUCAAGAUCAACAAGGAACUCAAAGGUAUGAUUCUAGAUCUGUUUCAAUGUUGUUAUUUAACCUAAUUAGUCAUUAGAAGUCUUGGAUUCAAAGCAUGUUUAUUAGAAAGCCUAGAUCCAAGCAUUAGGGUUUUGCAUGCGCACAUAGGAAAGUUCUUAUGGCUAAAACCCAUCACUUUGAACUUAAAUAUCGUUUACAAUUCUUAUAAUAUAACUAAAAAAAAGAUUAUAAUCUUGUCCAUGCAAUACUAUCAUAAUACAUGAUAUACAUUUAACAAAGAAAACAAGUAAUAAGAAAUAUAUAUAUAUAUAUAUAUAUAUAUAUUUAAGUAAAUAAAUACUUUUAUUAAGAUUAUGAUCUUCUUAUACACUCACCUGAUUGUAGGUGAAAGACUCACGACUAAGUCAGUGCCUCGUCCAUCACUUUAGCUUUUCCUUUUAAAAGACCUAUAUACGAAUAUUACUAAAUUUCAAUUAUCGUUUAUAUUAUUUGCGAUGAUAAUAAAAGUAUAUCAACUUCAUCAGUCAUACCAAAAGAAUAUUGAGAUCUAUCAAAUAAAGAAUGACCAGGUACGAUCAUAUUAAAGGUAGGAUCUAUUUGGUAAAAGGAAUACUGUUCGGAUAAUCCACUUUAAACACCUCCUUAGUUCUUGCCUAGACAUCACUCCUGUAAGUAGAUCACUCAGUAUAACGAUUGAUGUUGCUGAUAAACAUUAUUUAUAAGUUUAUAAUAACGACUAUAAACAUAAAUGUAAGUUAUAUUUAAAGCAUAGUAAGUAUACCUCAACUUACAGGUUUUCUAGAGAAAAGGCGGAAAUUGCAUGGGCAUAACUUCGAUACCGAAAGCUCUUUUUAUUGGGACUUCUUUUGUUAUAGAGCUACUAAAACUUGAAAACUCCAAAAGUUGGGCCUCAAGGUUGCAGGAAAGUUUGAGAGAGAAAUGGAAGAAAGUUGUGGAGAAAAUGAGCUGAAAUCGAAGGUUUAUAUAGAAUUUUUUGAAAGGUGCAUCGCGCACUAUACACAUGUUAUUUUCUGGUUGGUCCAGAUCAUCAAGCAUACAGAGGAAGGGAAUCUUCUGGUUGAGGAAGGUCUUGGAUAUCUUGUGGGGCCACGUGUCUCGCCGGGUGUGGUGCUCUUAUCGGGUAUUUUUUGCAUUCUUCAAUAAAUCAUAACAUCCGUAUAUAGGAUCCAUUUACGAUGUUCUUUAUAUCCACGAUUUCAUAUCGAUGAGUAAUAUAACUUUCAUUUGGAACUUGUCGACUAAUUCACACUCUAUUUUUAUUUUACAGUUUGUGAAGGUUUCAUUAUAAAAGAUUUUGCAAUGAACUCCGUUUUCGACGUUCUUUAUAUCGACGAAUUUGUGUUUACAUAGACAUUAGCUUUCAUUUACAAUAUUUUGUCUAACGAGUAACUAAUCUUCGUUUCGUCUUUUAUUACACACAUUGUUAUAUUGUGUCGAACACAAAACUUCAAAAAAUCACAACUUCCUCAUAUGAAGUCAGAUUUUGGUGUUCUUUAGCGGUACUAUGAAAUUUAUUUAGAUUAUUUAUCCUAAAUAAUAUUUUGUUUGUAAUUGUUAUUAUCAGUUUUUGUUACAUUAAUAACUACAGUUAUAUAAAUAUUAUAUCACCAUAAUAUUUAUCCGUAUAACAUAUACAUAGUAAUCAUAUACCAAGAAACUUUGUAAACACCCAACACGUAAGGAUAAUUAUCAUAUAUUUAUUUAUAAUAAAAAUCACAUUAAUUUGCUAACAUAAAUAAGGAUUUAUUGAUGAUAUGUCUUACAAAAAAUAUGGGCAUUACAAUUCUAUAGCCUUAGAAUGCUUGGUUUAGCCUUACUUUAUGUUCCUUGUUUGGUUGUGGGUUUAUGGUUUUUUCAUUUAUUCGACCGUCUAUUUAAUUUUGGGUCACGUAUGAGUUGCAUACACGGGAUGACCAUCGAUGUUAGCAGAGAUUUAAAGCCGUAGAAGAGCAUGGUUAGAAGAAAUCCUAGAAUGAGAAUUUAGGAAUAAUCAAGCAUAGUGACGUGGAAACUUUGGUAUAAUUAUAGGGACGGGUAAGGAUAGGCGAGGAAGGUUGUAUGAGCCCGCACUACUAGAAGCACAAGAUCCGUACAGGGAUCAUGAAUAAUCAUAGAGUUACUAAGAAACUGGUAAAUGAGUGAGUAGUGUGAGCUAGCACUAUGAUCUGGUUUGACCAAUUUCUUUUAUAUCUUUUAGCAUGGUGAUGAAUAGGCCGGGUAAUGGUUUUAGUGUGGGAACGAGUGAUCUGGGAGAUCGGGCUUGAGUGAUGUUUAGAUUUGGGAUUUGAUUGCUAUUAAGGUAUAUGUGAAAGUGAGGUAGAUGAUUCCAGAGGUGUUCGAGUAUAUCAAGACCAAGCUGGUAGCCAUGUUUGAUGAGAGAUAUGUUGUUGUCACUGAUGUUGUUGCCGUUGCCGCUGUCAUCAAUGCUUUUGGGCAACAUAGAGCCCGUUCGGUAACCUACAGUGAGUUUUGUACUACCCAUCCUCCUAAUUUUUAUGGUGGUAUGGAUCCAAUCAUCAGUAUGAGAUGGAUUAUCGAUGUGGAGAGUGCUUUUCGCUUGUGCUUAUGUUUGGAAGUGCUGAAGGCGAAGUUUGCUUUGAACCUUCUCUUAAGUAAGGGAAGGAUUGGUGGGGUAUGGUUUCCAAGACCUUUUCUCCUUAUGAGAGUGAGGCUAUGAAUUGGGAGAGGUUUACUGGUAUGUUUAGAGCAGAGUACGUCCUAUAGGUGGGGAAGGAGCGUUUAGCUGAGGAGUAUUUGUCACCAAAGUUGAUGACGAAGUCAGUGACUGAGAUCAUCAAGAAGUUUACUAAGAGAGUUUUAUUUUAUUAUAAGUAUUCAUCUAGUAAGAUCAUGAAUAUGACUCAAUAUCUAAGCAUGUUGAGGACUGAGAUCAGGAAGUUCAUGGUGAAAUCCAAGUAUCAGACCCUAUUAGAGUUGCAGUCUCAGGCUAGGAGAAGUAGUUGGAGCUUGAGACCUAGAAGAGAGGUAAGAGACAAUCUUCAGUCCAGUCACAACCUGCAACAAAAAAAUCUACAACGGACGAUGUAACAACCCGAAUUUUAACGAAAAUUUUAACUUUUAUACAUAUAAAAAUUAACCACAAUUGUUUCCAAAAUAAUCCCAUUACAUAGCUAUAGUGUUUCAAAAGAUCAUAGUACCAAAAACUAGAUACCGAAAUAUUGGAGAAUGCAUGUCGCGCCAUCAAGCCGAGCCCUUGCCCUUAGAACAAGAAGUACCUGAAACAUCCACCAAAACUGUUAGCACACACUUAGUGAGUUUCCUAAAACAUGCAAACAUAAACUCACAUAAUAUCAUGCACACAUACAUAUAAGUUUGCCAUGGACUCCCUCCAUGGUCUCCGUUGGAAUGUCAUGGGCUACCCUUAUGGUCUUAUAUCCCCGAGCCAUGGGCUCUUCCCAUGGUCUUGCCAUGGGCAACUCCCAUUGUCUAUACAUAAUUCCACAUAUAGAUCAAAGCAGCAAACAAUUACAUUCUCCAAUACAAAUCAUCUCAUAACCAUUAAUGGGUCGGCCUUGGUUCCUUCGACCCAUGAGUGUAGUGAGAAGACUCACUUUUAAUACUGACCGAUAGUUGACUAGGUCCUGGCUCCGAAUAUCAGCUCUACUCAACCCCUAAACAGAAACACUUCCUUAAAUGCAACUCAAAAUGCCCUAAAACCCCUUAUAAGUCAAACUUGGUCAAGGAUUAAAGUUAAAGUCAAAGUCAACGGUCCGAGUUAACCCAACACACCGAGUUGUCCUUUAACUCGUCGUGUUUCUCCAUUAACUGCACAGAUCAGGAAAAAUAUUAUCAACUCAUUGAUUUCACUAAUGAACUCACCGAGUUAGCCAGAAAUCCAACAACCUAAUGCAUUAAGUUGUUUCCAUUGAAUAUAGAAACUCCAAUUGUAACAUCCAUAAAAAUCAGGCCAAAUUUGAACUUUUCAAAACAUUUCAAAACCAUUAAUUAUUACAAAAACUUGUUUUCAAAAUAGUAUCAUAUCAGAAUAUCGCAGAAACAAAUCAUAAACAUGAGGAGCGGUAUGAUCACGCAUUUGCCUUCCUGCGAUCUCCUGAGGUAACCGAAACCAAAACUGAAACUGUAAGCACAAAGCUUAGUGAGUUCCCCCAAAAUACCGAUACAUAACAACAAUACACAUAAUAACAACAUGUAAUGGGUCCACAAAUCUACAGACUGUAUUACCCCCCCUGUGCCCACAGUGUGAGUCUGGCUUGCCUUUUGAGCCCACAUCUCACAUCUGGCUUGCCUCCGAGCCCACAACAUAAGUUUGGUUUGCUUUCGAGCCCGCAGCUUAUGACUGACUUGCCCCUGCAGUUUCAAGACUGAAACCUAAUUGAUCUGUGCUCAGUACGAGUUUGGCAUACCACUUGGUCCUCAGCUCGUAUCUGGUAUGCUAAUGAGUCCUUAGUAUGAGUCUGGUAUGCCUUUCCGGCCCUCAGCUCAUAUCUGGCAUACUCCAGGGUUUGUUGGUCACCGCACGAAGCAGUGCAACCUCAAUGUUACCCUCACAACAUGUCUAAUAUACAACUAAUUGCACAUACAGAUAAUUAAACGGUAACAUGGGUAGUCCUAAAGAUCUACCUAACUAGCAUAACAAUCUAGGAUGUAUAACUAUCUCAUACUCAACACAUCAUCAACUACUGGGAUAUCAAAUCCAAUGGUUCGGCCUUGGUGCCUUAGACCCCUUAGUAUAGUGAGGAUAAAUCACCCCGCAAUUGUCGAUCUCAACUGAUGAACCGAACUCCCGAAUCGCCGUCUCACCACGAAUCCCGAACUAUCCAAAAUAACAAAUAUUAAGUCAAUAAAUGGGAAGACUAAUCUUGACUAAGAAUCCAUAUAGUCCAUUUCGCCUUUUUCUCUAAUUUGGGACAAGGCCCAAUAGCAAAUUCACUAUCUAAAAGUCCAUAUACCUAAGCCCAUUAAUGUCAAAAGCCCAACAGAGGUCUUACACGGGGGGUAUUCCUCUGGUACGUUGGGCAUACUUCUAUUUGUGUUGACCACCAUAGGGGUGGUUGACUCAGUACGUUGGGCGUACAGAUAUUACGCGGGGCGUACGCGGGGUUUGCCAAAACUCUAAUAAGUGCUUAAUGGCUUAAGCACUUAAGCCCAAACUUUAGAUCCAUUGACCAAAUAUGCCUAACAAUCAUAAAGUCUUGAACUUUAUCACUUUGGACAUACAGAAAGUUCUUCACACAUGGUCUUAAUCCAUUAAGACCUUCCUACUCCAUGCAUGAGACACAUUUAGCUAUUGGGACAUCAUUUUUAUCACUUAGGACCUCUUCAAGAGUCUAGAAGGACAGUUUAUUUCGUCCAAAUCAUAUCAUGCACCAACUUGGGACUUUUGGGACAAGAAAUGGUUCCUUAAAGCUAAAAUGGCAAGAUCUAUAACAUACAUGCAUAAAGUUUGAAGCUCUUUGCCUUCUGGAGCUUCUAGGGCACCAAACAACUUCAGAUCUACUAGCUUGUUCUCCUUCUCCAACUCUUUGAUGCAAAACCUUCUUCUCCAACUACUCAAAAUAAACUCUAUAAGCUCACAUACUCAAGGAAAAGAGUAGGGUUUGGGGAAAACGACUCUAAACAGUGGAGGCUGAGGUAAGGGAGGGUUAUGAGCUCAUAAAGUUGUUCAUAUAACACUCAAACCCUAAAUAUUAGGGUUUCCACCUGACGUGAGUACGCCCAGCGUACUAGGGCGUGCCUAGUACGCUCAACGUACCUUAUGUACACUUACGUACUCUCUUGAUCCCAAAGUUGCAACUUUAGCCCUUAGGCUUCUCAUGGGUCGACUCCUUUAAUCCCCAGGGACUACAAAUGACAAAAUAAUAAUAAAAGAGAGGAUUCGGAAAUACCUGCAAUAUCUCGGGAUGUUACACCAAUUCUCAGAUCUCCUCUAAAAUGAUGUCUAGAAGGGUAAAGUUUCCAACUUUACCCUUUGGAACCACCAUAAUGAGUCAAAACCGAACCCUAGACUCAUUAGAGUGAGGCUUGACCCAUUAAGCCCUUAAACUCCAAAGGCAUAGACCCAAAAUGCAGAUCUGGCAUCCAAAGGAUGGGAAAUCACGUAAAGUUUCCAACUUUACGUCCAUGCAUGCUAGAAAGAAACUCUAGGGUUCAAGAUGGGCUAAUAAAGGACUUAUUGCAUGAAUGGGGCCUAGAACUUAGAAAAGCUUGCAACUUUAAGCCAAAUGAGGCCAUAAAAUGGUCAGACUUAACAUAACAACCCCUGGUACACUCAACUUCUUGGACAUCCCAACCAUGAACACAAAAUCAAGAUAAGAAGAGAUCUAGAUGAUAACAAAGCAAGGUAUAAACUUGACACCUCCUAGAGACUACAACAAGUGGGGAGAUUCUGGGUCUAAGUCUUCCCUCAAAGAUCUACACCUCCAACUCCCAAGCUUCUUCAAAAGAACACAAAAGAUCAACACUCAAGGCCCUCCACAAGCUCACACAGUUACAAAAGAAGAUGCUACACACUAUUUAGGGUUUCUGGACAGGGGAGGCUAGUAAGGACGCCAGCCGAGGGACUUAAGGCCUUUAAAUAGGGUACAACACCCUAUAAUUUAGGGUUUCCUUCCCAGCUGCCAACUCGCCGAGUUGGGACACCCCGACUAGUCAAGUUGAUUCAUUAAUUUCCGCUGCCAAAACCCUCUCGAUACACCGAGUUGGAGCUUUCAACUCCUUGAGUCCCAAAGUAAUUAUAAAAAAUUGGAGAAAUAAACUUAUACCAGAACCAAGCAUUACAGAAGAUUUAGGAACAAAAGUCCAGAGAGGCACAAAGUGUACUAAGUGUAGUAGACUUCAUGAUACAGUGUGUUGAUCGUUUGGGUGUCACAUUUGUGGUAGGGAGGGGCACUAUAGCAUAGACUGCAUGCAGAGUAUGCGAGUAUGCUUUCGUUGGGAUCAGGUGAGCCACAUCAAGGCCAAUUCCCCCUUUCAUGUAUCAGGCAUAGCGCAGACUCCACCACAUGCGCCUUUGAGGAUCAUGAAUGGAUGACAUGGGAGAGUUGAGGCUUCAUAGGCCAAGGGAAGAUCCUACCAACUUAUUUUAGAGGAUUUGAGAUAAGUACCAGUAGUGAUCUCCGAUAUAUUUUCAAUUAUUUUAUUGGUAACAUCCAAAUCCUCGAGUUAUGAAAUUUAAGGUUACAAGUUCUAUGAUGGCUAUGACAUGGUGGAUGUAUUACCACGAUGUAACAUGGUUGCAUGAGUUGUUUAUUCCAUUUAGGUGUCACGACGAGCCACUCUAUUGGUCAAGACAUGACAUUUGAUCAGGGGCAAACCCUAAUUUCCGGAUGUAGGCACUAUUUAAAGGAAGGGAGGGCUAGGGUUUUCUCCACCAUCAGCCUUCAUCACCUCCUAACCCCUUGAAGAAGAAAGCCUUUGUGGGGUAGAUAGCAUCUUGGCAAGCUUUCAAACUUCAUUUUAUGAUCUCCUAGACUUUUGUGAGUAAUCAAGUUCCAAUCUUGAUGCAUUAGGCUUCUAGAUCUAUGCUUUUGGUCCCUUUUCUCCGCAUUUGGAAAAUUUUGGAUGGAAGGAUUCCAUAAAGUUGACAACUUUAUGGAUCCUUAAGGUCCCUUGAGGAUUAUAUGCUUUGGGUCUAAAGUUAGAUUUAGUUUUGAAUCCAUGUAUGUGAUUUUGGUUCCAUUUUCAUCCUUUUGACCUAACAUUAGCUCAAGAGAUGCAUUGGACAUGCAUGUAUAUAAAGCAUUGAUUUUUAGAAUUUUUUUUGGAGUACGAAGGCCCUUUGGAAAGUUAGAAUGGAUGGCUUAAAGGAUUAAGGGCUUAAUGCAUUAAUGUAGCAAUUGAGAAUUUCUCAUCACCAAUUAUCACUAAAGAUUAACAUCAACCGAUGAUAAUGGUAGAACUUUUUAUAGUAAUGGAAAAUAUGAUUUGUUAAAUGAUAAUAAUAGGGUAAAAAAUGAUUGACCAAAAAGUUAUAUAAAUUUUGAUGAUGGUUAGUGUAUUUGGAAAGUACACAACAAAGUGAUCCCAAUGAUAUAAGCGUUACGAAAAUCUGACUCCGAUUGGAGGAGUUAUGAUUUCAUAAAAGAUAAAACCAACCGCAUUAAUAAUGCCAUUAACGUCAAAAUAACAUAAAGAGAUCGGUUGAGUUUCGACUAACGUCACUAAAAGGAAAACCAUAAUAACUUGUGAGAUAAAGACUUUGAAAGGAAAAGGUUCAAAAAAGGAGUUCGUAUGAAGGAGAUAUGAUUUUUAGAAAAAUAUAAAAUACGGGUUAAAAAUGAAAGUCAAAAUUUGACAACGCAACCUUCAAGAAAGUUGUAGUACUAUUAGAGAGCUACACAAAUAUAUAAAGAGGGUAAGACACAAUAUUCAUAUAAGGAAGAUAUGAAUUUUUAUAAAAGAUUUAGGGGUGCACGCCAAGUGCGUCUCUUGCCCGUUGUGCACACCAGACACUUAAAUUCGUCAAAGAUUAUGGAGACGUGGACCGUCAGAAGUGUGACAUGUGGCAAGCUCUGGAUGGAAUCACGAAGCGAGUGAACGCCACACGCACAACCUCUAUAAAUAUAGGUGCAAACUUUCUGAUUUUAUCAUCCAAAACACUUUAUCUAUACCUCUGAAGUUGUUUCAGAGACCCUCUUGAUGGCACAAAGCUUUGGAUGCAAUGGCUUGGAUGCUUCAGAAUACGCUAAUAGAGUGAGUUCACGGCUCCCUAUUUUACUAUUUUAAAUGUUUUACCAGGGGGGAUACAUGCUUAUCAAAUGGUUUUAUCAAAAUAUUUUUAUAUCUAUAAAUAUCAAAUCAUUUUAUAAAGGUUAAAGCCUUAGGAUAAUGUAGAUAUAGAGACUAUGCCUAGUUGUAAGCUGUGAGAUUAUGCUUAACAAUUAUGAUGCCCAAUAGUCUAGGAAGAGAUAAUACCUAGAUGUUAUAAUGGCCAAAUCCCUAGGAUAAUGUAGUACUUAGAAGUUAUGUUGCUCAGAUAUAGAGAUAUGCAACAUACCUAGUUGUUACUGUACCCAAAUAUCUUGUUUUCAAAUAGCCUUAAUUAGGGUAUAUAUAUGAAUACUUAUAUAUACAAAAUAAUUAUGAGAUCAAAAUUUAUAAUUAUGUAAUAUAAGACAAAGAUUUAUAUUUAUGAUAGUUAUAGGAAAUCCCUAGGAAUGAUUAAAAGAUAAUAUAUAAAAUAUAAAAGAUAAACACCUAAGGUCAAUGCGUUAGUGAGCUGUUAUAUUCAUCUAAAGGCCUUGAUUAAAUUUGACAUUCUCCGAUACCUAUAAUCGUUAAUCUUGCGAGAGCUAGAAAGAUAUGUAUAGAUCUAUAUGGGAUCUGAUAACCCCACCUGCAAUUGCUAGCUACACUCCCGAUAGGAUAACUUUCUUAUUAUUCACUAUGCGACGUCCGAUAAAGCGUCGUGACAGGGAAAUUAUUAGUCAAACAUCGUCGAUUAUGGGGGUUCAUGGUAAUACAUUAGAUAGCCUUAGAGAUCAGAGUACCAUUAGGGACGCCUUAGAAUGGUAGAUAAAAUACGUUCGGAUCAUUAGAUAUCACACAAAAAUAGUAAAUUAGGAUUAAUAAAUAUAUCCUAAAAAGAUAAAAAGAUAGGAUCGGUAUAUAUCCUAGAGAUAAUAAGAUAGGAUCGUUUGAUAUCCUACAAAGAUAGCAAAUUAGGAUUAAUAAUAAAUCCUAAAAGAUAACAAGAUAAGAUCGUUAGAUAUCCUGAAAAGACAGUAAGUUAGGGUUUAUAAAAUACAUUAGGAAAGGUUUUUCUAAAAUAAAAAGGAUUCUUAAAUUAAUAUAAUCAAAUAAAAGCCAAAAACUAUAAAAACCUGUGUACUCACCAAAAUCAAGUUGAUGUUUUCAAAAAUCGCAUAUGUGCCUAGGAUGAAGUAGAGAUCAAGUCAAUGAAGGAUUAUCAGCAUGAAGACUUGUAGAUUUUCGUUUAGAUAGGUAAUUAUGAUCGGCACUCUAUGAUUUGGGAAAUCUUUAUACAGUCACCACUCGUCAUUUUCCACCAUCAGCUGGGGAGGGUGUGACAAUUAAGCUGCCCCAGUGCAGUUCUCACAACAUGGCCAUGAGGAUGCCUCGACGUGAUGAUAGGAGAUCAUUGACUGUUUUGGACAGACUCUAUUACGACGUGGUGGAAUGACCAUCUCGACGUGACAAUAACAUUGACUGUGACUGAGUUGGAUCAUGAUCGGGACUUUGAUCAAACCUGAGUUUGUUCUUCACGACAUGACCAUGCAUUGAUUCAAUGUGAAAGGCAGCUGAUGUUGACUUUGACUGUUAACAUUGAUCGUUAACUUUUUGACCCAGUUGACUUUUGGUCAAAUGCUAGCUCUAGAGUGUAGAAUAAGGUGUAACCUUGUGUGAUUCAAUAGGUGGAUUUUAGCACCUGUCUAUUGACGAUGAGUUGUGGUUUGUAUGACUUCGUGAGAGAGAUGAGUCUUCUGACUAUACUAUGUAGGAUGCUAGUUGUCUUUGUGAUACUUGAAUGAAAGACCAUGGGGAUAGCCUAUGAAAAUUAUCUUAAAGACCAUGGAGGUAUCCCAUGAAACUUGGAUGUAAGACUAUAGGGUAGCCCAUGACAUUUCAAUUAAAGAUCAUGGGGUAGCCCAUGGCACUUGGAUAUAAGACCAUGGGGGUAGCCCAUGACAUUUCAGGGAAAGACCAUGGACGACAUUUGACUGUAAGACCAUGGGGUAGCCCAUCUUGUUUAUAGAAACGACCAUGGUAUGUGGUAUUUUGGGAACUCGCUAAGCUUUGUGCUUACGAUUUUGUGGUUUAAAUAUUUCUGAUACUUCUGGUUCCAAAGGGAAGUCCCGAAGUGAUCGCAUAACAUCCCCAAGAGUUUAUUUCCGCAUUACCUGUUUUAGAUUCACUAUGAUAUUUGGGAAUACACUUAAACAAUUAUUGGCUUUUGAACAAAUGGUUGUAUGGUUUAGGUGGUUGAAAAACAAUGUAUUUGAGAUUUGUGUGUUUUAAAAACAAAAAUUUUACUUAGUAUUCUUGGAUGUUACAUUAUUUUCCAUUCUGAUCUUUUGCCUUAUUAUUAUUUGCAUAUGUAUAGAGUUUUUCUUUUGUCUCUUUGCGAUGAAUGCCAUUUUUGUGGGAAAAUAUUCGGUUUAGACCUCCUUAGAUCUUGUGGUAGAUUAUAGGAAUGGGAUUUCAUAGACUCCUAAAUUUUGACUUGACCCUUCCACCUGUUGUUGUCUGAUAAAAUAUUUUAGGGUAGAGUUGAACGAUUCGAAGGACUAUUUAAUUCAAUUUCUAUUUUAUUUCUUUGGAUCAAGGUUGAUAUAAUUUUGGAUGGGUUAGUUUGGGAUCAUGAUGAUGGUACAUUAACAACAUUUACAUGGUAUAUAUUUCAAAGUGGAGGAGAGUCGACACUUCGUGAGGGAUGAGUUUAGAGUCGCUCGGUCUUUAGAUUGACUGCUUGGGUUAGACGGUAUUUGCAGCGGCGCACAAACUUCAGAGUCCUAAGUUGGUAAUGUUAGAUAUGUUGUUUUCCUUCUAAGUAACCAUAAAUAUAGAUUUGAUAGGUACUUUCUCGGAUUUUAAGGUGUUGUUUAUGUAUAGAAUUCAAAUAUUUUAAGGGAUUCAAAUUGAGGAUCGUGACGAAGAUCUCCUUGCCAGUUCUUGUUUUAUAGGUCUUGGGGAUUCGAUUCACGGUCUGAAAGCCUGAUAGGGAUAGUUGGAUUUCAUGAUUUUGACUUAUGUCUUUGGGUUGAACCUGAGAGUCAAUACUUGUCGAUGGAUUGGAUAGAGACCGAGACUCAUUAGUGGUCGAUGAAUUAGGUUGAGCCCGAGAGUCAUUAGUGAUUAACAGAUAGGGUUGAGCCUAAUAGUCAUUAGUGGUCAACGGAUCGGGUUGAGCCCGAGAGUCAUUAGUGGUUGACGAAUCAGGAUGAUCCUGAGAGUCAUUAAUGGUGCACAAAUCGGGUUGAGUCUGAUAGUUAUUAGUGGUUGAUGGAUCUAGUUAAGCCCGAGAGUCAUUCGGGGUUGAGGGAUCGGCGUAAGCCCGAGGAUCUCUAGACGUCAUUGGCUUAGAAGUAUUUUCUUCGGAAGUUGGUUAGUAGAUAAGCCGGGAAGAUGAUUGCUAGAAUUAUAAGUAUCAGUUGAAUCUCAGAUCAGUGAGUUUCUAAUAUUGGUAAGUCUUCUCUCUAGGAAUUAGUUUGCUCUGUUGUGCCAUGAGAUAGGUUGCGUUGGGAUGAGAAGAAUUGUUGGUUAGUGGGAAUAGAAGAUUAGACCACGUAUAUAUGUAUAUGUGUUUGGGAAAUCUAUAACACCCGAUUUCCAGAUUUAAGUUUUUGGUAGGAUCGCGACACAACCAAUGGUUAUUCGCGGCACUAUGGUUUAAUAAAUUUAACAGUGUGAAAAGUAUUGGUCACGACGUGACAUAGUUGUUAUGAGAAACCCUAAUUUUCGGGCCUUGGGCCCUAUUUAAAGGCACUAACCUCUAGGGCUUGCCUCAUUUGGUAGCCUCCAUACUCAGAAACCCUCUCUUACCAUUAACCCUAACCUUUAUUGCAAGUUUGAGCCUCAUCUUCCAUUUGUGUGAUACUUUGAGGUGGUGGGGUUGUUCCUUGGUGCUUAAAGGUAUUGUAUAAGUUCAAAUCCAUCCAAGCUUCUUCACUUUUUUAAUUUCCUAGGCCUUGGAAUGUGGUGCAUAUAGUUGACUCUACGGGGCUUCUAGUAGUGUUAUUUCAACUCUUCGAUUUAUGUGAGUUUUCUCACUAUAUAUGUAGUAGUAUAUCUCCCUUGUAUGCUAUGAUGUAGAUGUAUUGUAGUAUGCUGAUUAGGCAAGUACGUUACCUUAGUCGUUUGCAUGUUGAUUGUUUGAUGACUAAAUGGUAUGAUAUGUUGAUAUGUUAUGUUUGGGGAGUUGAUAGUGGAUCGGCAUGAGAGCCGAGAGCCUAGAUUAAUCACAUUCAAGUUAGACGUGCACAAGAGUCGUUAACUGUUGGUUCAAGGUUAGAUGUGCAUGAGAGCCAUUAACUGUUGGUAUGACUAGACGUGCACUAGAGUCGUUAGUCAUUACUUAUCGAGGUAGAUCGGCACUAGAGUCAAGAGCCUAUGUUUGUAUGCAUUAUUUGUGUAUUGUGGUAUGUAGUAUAUUGAGGAAACUCACUAAGUUUUAUGUUUAUAGUUGAAGAUUAAAUAUUUUUCAGAUACUUCAUUAGAUCGUUGGAAGGACAAUGUUUGACUGUACACGCGCAUCGACUUUGUGUUUUGAGAUUUCCUCGUGUUCUAUUUUAUGUUUUGAUUUAAUUAUUCUAAUUUUGAUCACUAAACUAUGGUUUUCUUACUAAUGAAUGAAUAUUUUGAAUUGGUUUUAAAAAAAAUAAAAAGUUGGUUUUGAAAAAUAGGAUGUUACACUGUUAAAUUUUAAAAAUUAUAAAUUUGUGUAUAAAAAGAAGAAGUCUCACAAGGGAUUGAAAAUGAAACAUUUUAUUGAACCAAUAACAAAUAUUUCUGAAAAUGACGAAAAGGUAAAAUUUCUUUUUAAACCAACUAAUUAAAAAUUAAAAAUACCUCCAAAAGAGCUAUUCUUUUAACUUAUAACGUACCGGAUAUUUAUGAAAAUGGCAAAAGGUAAAUUUUCUUUCCCAUUUUCUUUUUAAACAAACCAAUUAAAAAUUUAAAAUACCUCCAUAAAGUAGAAAUUCUCAACUUAUAACACACUUGUGCAGAGUCGAACUCAUAACCAUUGUUGCAAUGGAAACGAAUAUGACUUUUUCAAUUCAUCCGGGACCAAUUAUGUUAUUUUUUUUCUAGACAAAUAGUAUUUAUUAAAUACUGAACAUAAUUAAUAUUGGACCCCCUAAUUUUCGUGAGGCUUACAGAGAUCAUCCGACUUGUCCAUCCUAUUAGGUCGGUCCUGAUUACCAAAUGGUUUGAAUGAUAUUAUAACAAAACUCGCAUGUCUAAUAACAAAAGGUUAUCUAAAACUUUCUCCAAAUAUUAGAUACCUAAAAAAAACUAACAUUAAAAAUGCUCCUAUAUAUAGAAAAAAUAUAUAUUAACAAGUGUUAAAAUGUUCUUAUAUUUUCAUAAUAUUUGAAGUGAGUGUAGGCGAAAGGGAGGGGGACUUGUUUUUACGAAAGCCAAUUUAAAAGUAAUUACAGCUCUGAUCCCUAUAGUUCACACGUAUGUAUAAUUUUAGAUUAUUUUUUCGUUUUUGAUAUGCCUCGUUGCUAAGGUUUCCAAAACUUACAUGUGUGGUUCUUAAGGAUGUUACCAUCAAUCCCCCCUUCCAUUAAAUGUCUUUAAAAGAACCAAUCUUUUGAAAACCGAUUUUUUAAUUGAACCGGUCGGAUGAUGUUUUCCGGUUCAACCGGAUGGUUAAACCAGUUCUAUAUUUUUAUAUGUUUUUAGUUAUCCUGGAUAUAUUAAUUACAAAACUUGUCAUCUUUUUAGUUUUACAAACGUAAAUAAAACGCAACAUAUAAAAACAAUCAUUAUAGAAGUCAAAAUCAACAGGGCCGGUCCUGUGCAGCUGCCCACUUUGCCCCCCUCUAAGCCCCCCAUGAAAAUCAAUCAAAGAAGCCCAAAACAAACACAAAAAUUCAAGAAUGUCCGGUUCAACCCGGUCCAUUCCGGUUCAAUUCAGCCGGUUGAAUAUGUUUUUUACUAAAACCGGCCGGUUCAAUCCGGUCAGAAAAUCAUUAUCAAACCGGUCCAAAUCGAACCGCCCUCAUCUCCGGUUCCCGAUUCGACCGGUUCAACCGGCCGGUUCGAACCAAUUUUUUAAAACACUGAAAAGAACCACUAUUCCCUUAAUUUGACAUUUUUCGUUAUUUUGAUAUUUCUAAUAAGUCAAGACCAUUUGUGAAAAAUUAUUUAAAAGAUGCACUAGAACCCUAACAACCUUGUUGAUCUACGAUUUCAAUGUCAAUGCUCUCUGUCUCUCCCGCUCCUGGUAAUUCCAACACUAACAACUACUUCUCUUAUUUUACCAUCUGUUAUGUCGUUGUCCUCUUUCCUUUCAACUUCUAUUACCAUAGUCCACUUCACCUUAUACACUUAUAUUCUAAAAGAGAUUGAUGACCCUCAUUUCCUCCAUGACUCCAUCUUUAUAAUUCUUUAGAAGUUGGUGUUGUUGUAUGCCACAUAUGCUUGGAAUUGGAACGUUGUUAUGGUUGGAAUCUUUUAUUUUUUCUUCGAUUGGAAUAUUGUAGAUGUUGCAGGAAUUGGAAAUAUGGGAAGUUAUAGGAUGCUAACCAUGAUAUCCAGAAUUCAGAUUUCGACAUAUUGUAUUUGUGUGAAAACGCUUUUUGAAAUCUUUUUUUCUAAGUAUAGGUUGAUCGAAUUUUGGCUCUAACUUCAUCGUGUUUUGAGUUGCAGAUUAGAGGUUUCAUAUUUGUUUUGAUUUUGAUUAAGGGAUUAAAGGUUGAUUUUUAUUUUAAGUUAGGUAUAUGAGUGUGGUGUAUGACAAUGGUGGUGGUGUGUGAGGUCUACCUUGUACGUUAAAGUAUCAAAACAUUAUAAAAAAUAAAAAGAAGAGGUGGUGGUAAUAUGGUCAUUUAACAAAGGAGAAUUAACGAUAACACAUACAGGAACCACAUAUGCAAUUUUGGAAAACCACGACUCAUCAAAAAUUGAAAAAUUAAACUAAAACUGCAGAUGUGUAUAAACCAUAGGGACCAAAAGUGUAACUUACUCUUAAUUUUAUCCAAAUCUAUGUUUUGUGUUAACAGAUCACGCGCAGGGGUAGAGAGUAGGAUUUGUAUAUGGAAAGAUAAGAAAGCGGAGUCGUUCAAAUGAUUAUACGAAGAGUGCGUGUCUGCUAACAGAAAGACAAGAUGACACGCACGGCUUGUGUGUUUGUCGCUGAUGUGGGCCCACACGCGCCCCUUAAUUCGUAACUUGAACGUAAUUAUAUACUUGACACUUAACCAAUUAAAUUCAUUGAUUUAAAAUUUCUUUAAUUUCUUGAAAUAAACCAUCUUUGUAUAUAUGUUUUUUAUAUUAUAAAUACCUGUUAUCGUUUAUUAAAAAAAAAAAAAAAAAGAACGAUACAUAUCUAUGUAAUAUGAUGAUUCGAAUGUAUGUUGUCGUUAAAAGGUAAUAAAGUUAUAUAAACAAUUAAAAUAUGAGAAAAUGCUACGUAGUUAUUAUGGCUAAUGACUUGUUAAGAUUUUUUUUUUUAGAUCAAAAAAAUAAAUCAGAUCUAUCCCUCAAUUUUACCCUUUCAUUUGCACAACACAUUGAGAAAUUCUGUCCCCUUAUUUCGUAUCAAGGAACUCGAGAAAUGGUUCAAGAAAAAAGAAUAUGCCACAUUAAGUAAAGUUUAUUUUUGCAACUUUAAUUUCAUAUCUUUUAUGUUUAUUUGGAAAAGUUCCAUAUCAUCUACUCGUACUUGAAUACGGUUUAUAACCAUACAUUUUUGACUUCGAGGAAUUUGAUUUUCGCUUUAUCAUAUUGUAUAGGAUUUUGUUUAUAAAAUUUGAUUCUAACGUAUUGUAUUUAUAUAUUUUGUUGUAGAUUUGAAUCAUACUUAUUCAUUCGUAUUAUUAAAGUUUCAUAUUCUUAGUAUUGAUUCGUGUUUUAUCUUUGUUUUUUCUUCAAAGAUACUGUAUUUGUAUGAUAAUGAUGUAUAUUUGGUAAAAUAUAUAAACAUUGGUCUGGAACUAAAAAAUAAGUACCAAUGAUUAUUUGCAUGACUAAGAAUAGGUUUGCAGUGCAAAAUUAUUUUUUACAUUGCGGAAUUGCAACUAUUUUUUAUUAUUUGAUUUGUAUUUAUACUUUAAAUUUUAUAUUUAAAUGUACACCUUUGUUUUAUAAAAAAACGGUGAUAAGGUAUCUAAUUACUCGUACUAUUGAGACAAACUUGUGAAUGAGUGAACAAGUAUAUUGUUACAAUUAAAUAGGAUUGAAGGGAAUCAUAUUGAGACAAUUGGCUAAGUUGAAGAGAAGCUUGGGACAAGAUAAGACUAAGAAUUGUAAUUAAUCAAACUAACAAUUAAGGUAAGUAUUUGUGGACUCUUUUAAUUUGCGUACAUAUCAUAAAUAAUUCAGACACAAUUAUGUAAUUUGUCAUUGCGGUUUGCCAAUAAAAGUUGACUCAAUACAACUAUCAAAACGUCUAUGUGUUGGGUCCACGUGGUUUUAUUUUUUGUUUGGUUGGUCCAUGUGGUUUCCAAAAACUACCCGAACAAUCCUUUUGCCAUGUAAAAAUUCUUUUUUGCCAUUUUUUAUUUUUGUUUUAUAUUUUUUAUAUGGUGUUAUGUUUUAUAUGAUUAAAAAAGAGAUACCCAUCCCCCCNNNNNNNNNNNNNNNNNNCCCCCCCCCCCCCCCCCCCCAAAAAAAAAAAAAAAAACCUUUUCUCGUCCUUCGUCUUUCCUUUGUAGACAAACACCACCAGACAACCACCAUGGUGUUUGGACACCAACGUCGCCAUCAGCUCAAGACAUCCACUAUUGACCAACACUACCACCAGACAACCCUUUGCUCCUGACCGACACCGUCGUGACCAAGGAUAUAGGUUUGUUUGGUUUAGGGGAAAUCGAUAUAGGAGACACAUCGAACACAACUUUUCUCUACCACCCACCGACAUCUGAAACCCAAACCCACACCCUCUCCCAUCUAAAACUAUCACCCGCACACCGCCAUUAUCUAAAACACUCACUCUUUGUCUCUCUAAAACCCUUAUGCCACUCCACUCCAUUAUUUUCUCAAAAACUCACCCUCCGCUUCUUUUGAGUUGUUCGUUUUCAAAUUUUAGAUACCCUAAAUUUUGUCAUUAGAUUUCUUCAAGUUGUUUCAACUUUUUUAUAAGUUUUCUUGGUGAAAUUUUUGGAAACUUUGGAAAAUUUUGUAUCUUAUUCGGCUGUACAAGCUUGAACUUAAAGAUAUCGAAAUCUGAUAUGAUUUGUUUUUUUAUCUUCAAAUAUGAUAUGUUUAAUGCUUGAAAUUUAUCUUGAUCCGUUUUUUUUCUGAUGAUGGUUGUUCUUGAAUGUAAAAAAUAUCUUGUGAAUAUGAUGAUAUGUUUGAAUGGCUUGAAUGUUAGGAAUGCUCAAUUAUGGUCGAAAAAGGAUCAUGAUGUUAUCUUUCUUGUGUGGUUUUAAAAAAUUCAGAUGUUUGAGUAGAAUCUAAUGUUUGCUAAUGUUUAAGUCUAAUGAAGUUUCCUUUAUAUUUUCUUCGUAUAUGAAAUAAGAAAUUUGGAGGUGGUGGCAGAUGCAGUAGGUUAAGUGUUAAUGAAGACGACCCAACUGUUCUUUUGACUCCCUUCUUGUAAUCCCAAUCAAUAACUUUUUUGAAUAUGGAAUAAUGUUCAUGUGUGUGUUCUGGGUUUAAAAUCAUGAAGACAUGUAUGUGAGCGAAACAAAGAUUUUAUAGCGCCGACGACUGGUGGUGACUAUGGAGAGGGUGACCUAAAGGAAGGAGAACAAGAAGGAGAAAGAUGAGGGUGGGGUGGUUUGGGUUUAAUUUAUUUUACCUUUUUUAAAAGAAAAUAAAUAAAUAAAAGUCUAAAAUAAAAUAAAAGGGGUAAAAAAAAGUAAUUUUCAUGCUAAAAGGAUCAGACAAGCAAUAAAAUCAAACCGCAUAGACCCACCAUGUAGACGUUUUGAUAAUUGUAUUGAAUUAGCAUGUUUUGGCAAACCAUGAGGAUCAAUUGCAUGAUUUUGUCAAUAAUUUAUUUUCACUAUAAAUGCUUUAGUUCUAAAAUGUUUUCCACAUAUUUGAUAGUUUCUAAUAAAAAGAUAUGCUUACAAGUUAAUUUUACAUGAUAAAUUUGACAUGAUGCAUGCCAUGACAUCAUAAAUGUGUAGUAUGAUUGCAUUUGGAAUAAUGUUUGUGAUAUGCCUGUACAUACCUACCUAUAAUGUGGUUGCAUAGAUUCGAGUAAAGGUUAUAAAUUAAAAAGCUCAGUCUCGUAAUGAUAAACAAAAAUCCUCCAGACAAGGACAAAACAAAAAUAUCAAUUAUAAUGAUAAUCAAAGAGCCUCUAAUAGGGAAUAAUAUUACCCAUUGUUGUAAAAACCCCGACUAGGUCUCGAUUAAUCUCCGAUUAAUCCAUAGGUGCUACUCGAGACAGAUAAUAGUGGUAUUUUAACAUUUUGAAGAAGUUUUAUAUCCCUAGAAAUUAUUUGAGGCAUGAUUAGUGUUGUAUUAAUCAUAUUAACCUAUUUUGUUAUGAUAUUUGUGGUAUUUAUGAACUUUGAUAUGAUAUUAGUCAUAUUUAAUUUUUUAAAAUUCUGCUAAUUAACAAUUAAUGGUUCCCGAUUAAUCCCUCGAUUAAUCUCCGCCUAGCCGAUUAAUCGCUUAACCCCAAUCCACCGACUAGCUAACGUCGAGCGUUUUUUACAACUUUGAUAUUACCUGAAUUCAAGUAUUUGAGUUCAUGCAUUGCAAUUUACACAUUAGCAUGAAAGUAAGUUACAAGUUAAAAGUAUGUUUGAACUUUGAUAAAUGUUUGAUUUAUAAGUAUGUUGGAAGUUUGAUAAAUGUAUGACUUAAAAGUAUGUUAAAAGUUUGGAAAGUUAAAGGCUUUCUACAAAGUUGAUAAAUAAUUUUGUGUCUAAAACCUAUGUAUCUCAAGAGACGAAAGUCUUAUGUAUCUCUCUUUUAAAUAACAUGUACUAUAGAUACCAAAGACAAAUAAAAGUGACAUGUACUCCAUUAAACACUUUUUGGACUUUUUGUGACAUAUUUCGGAAAAUUAAAUUUAAAAUAUUUUAUAAAAGGGGGCAUUUAUAAAUCAAUUUGUGGAUAAUGGUCAUGUCCUUGGCAUUCAAAAUGUUUAAAUUGCUAAAGCAUACGGGGAUGUAACAAAAUAACUAGAGACGGAGGCAAAGUAACAAUUUAGUGUCUUUGGAAAGUUAAAGGCUUUCUAGAACGUUGAUAAAUAAUUUUGUGUCUAAAACCUAUGUAUCUCACGAGACGAAAGUCUUAUGUAUCUCUUUUUUAAAAUGACAAGUACUAUAAAUACCAAAGACAAAUAAAAGGGACUUGUACUCCAUUAAACACUUUCUGGACUUUUUGUGACAUUUUUCGGAAAAUUAAAUUUAAAAUGUUUUAUAAAAGAGGGCAUUUAUAAAUCAAUUUGUGGAUAAUGGUCACAAACGGUUAUGUCCUUGGCAUUGAAAAUGUUUAGAUUGCUAAAGCAUACGGGGAUGUAACAAAAUAAUUAGAGACGAAGGUAAAGUAACAACCUUACAUACAUUUUAAAUACUAACUAGGUGUAAGAAUCAUGUAUUACAUGACUUUGUUUUAAAGAAAAAAAUAUGAAAUUCUAUAUAUUGGAGAAGUUUGAAUUUAUAAGAAAAAAAUAGAAAAAUAUUGAAUUGUUAAAAUUAAAUUGUAUGUUUUUCUUUUAAAUUAAAAAAAUAAUUUAGAUAAAUAAAUAAAGGAAACUAAUGAAACUUUAAUUUAGAAAAUUUGAAAUUAAAAGAAAACCAAUUAAUGAAAUUGAUAUGUAUUUAUUAUUACAUUUAUUGCAAUUAUUACAUUUAAAUAUUAUAUGAAAUUAAUAAAAUGAAAAAAACCACAAAAUGUCAUAUGAAAAAAAAUUAAUUGAAAAUAACCACAGAAAGACAUGCGGCCAAAUGAAUGAGAGUGUGACAUAUGACAAAAACUUCUUUAUUUAUUAUGGAGGAUUACAUCAUUUUCUAAAUAAACAAAAGCUAAAACAAUCUUCGAUCUUCAACUAAAUCUUUCAAUCUAAAUGCAUAGGUUACACUUGGAAAAUCUACACAACAUUUUUUAAGCUAACUCUUAAGGGUAGUGGAUAAGAUCAACAAUCUAAACCCAAAGGCAAAUAUAAAAGGUUUUCAAAACAAUAAAUAUUUUUUACAUUCAAUAUGAAAAAUCAUUUCAAAGACAUGCAUUUGCAAAACAACAUCAACUCAUCAAUAAAAGUUUAACAAAUUUCAAAAGAACAAAAGUUUAACAUUCUUUUACUUCCAAUUCCUAAGUCAUCACAAAGACCAAAUCUCACAGUCAUGCCUAAAAUAUGAGCUUAAUGUAUAAAUAGUAACAAGAACACAAUACAAACAUUUGUCCGUUUUAACAAACUAGGUAUCAUUGAGCCAUCAUACUAGACCACAUGUGGCAUAACAAAUAUACAAAUGGAUUUGACGAUGUUCUGUAAUGCUGACACGACCCUAUAUCUAUUCUAAGAAUGUUUUGGGUGCCCAAGUCAUACUCGCUGCAGUAUUCAUAAUCCAUCUUAAGUGGAUGCACAUGUACAUGUCAAAAUCAUUCAAAGUAACAAGUUUGUCCACAUUUUUAAAAGCUCGUUGUAAAAUCGAUUUCAUGAACACGCACAUAUACAUAUAAUAUUCACAUAUUACUAACAUAUGAAAUUUCAAGUAAAAAAGGAUAUAUAUAUAUAUANNNNNNNNNNNNNNNNNNNNNNNNNNNNNNNNNNNNNNNNNNNNNNNNNNNNNNNNNNNNNNNNNNNNNNNNNNNNNNNNNNNNNNNNNNNNNNAUUCUUUGGGUAAGAACCUCAACUUAUACUAAAUGUACCAAUUCAUUUCUAGUGAUGAUUGGAAAUUCAUGGAUCACCUAAUAAACAAUAAACAUUAUUAGUUAUUGACACUAAUCCAAUUCUAUUUAUCAAAUUAAUGUUACUAAAUUUGAUUAACCCUUUUUAAUUCUUAAGCAUGCUUUACUUAUACCUAAGGUAACAAUAGAAGUGACUGAAUGCUUUCCCAAUGUCCCAAGAUCAAGUUACAAAAGAUUCAGUCAUUCUCACACAUUAUUGCAUAAGCUGUGGGAAAUAAAAAAUGGAUUUUUCCAUGACCAAUAGUGUAACGCCCAGUUCCUGGUACGUAUUUGUUUUGAUUAAAGGUUCUUUUUGGAAGAGCUACUCGGUGAGUUGUAGCCCUAACUCGUCGAGUAGAUGUCGAGAUGGGUGCGGGUUUUAAGUGGUCUACUCGGCGAGUCCACGCCUGGACUCGGCGAGUAGGCCAAUCAGGAGGAGACCCGAAUCCUUAGGGUUUGCACCCUAUUUAAAUUUCCUUAUAGCCCCAUCUCAGCCUCUAUCAUCCUCAGAGCGUUCCUUGUCGAAACCCUAGCCUCCAUUUGUAAGUUUGAGUGAUUUGUUGCCUUGUGAAGGUUUUUUAGGGCACAUUGGAGCUUAGAAGGAGAAAAGAAGAGUUUGAAGAGUGCACGAGAGGGAGUAGAUCCGAAAUCUACUUUGGGAGAAGCUUCCAUUCAGGUAGUAAAGUCUCUACCUUGAUCUUUAGUUCAUUAGAUCCCAUUUUGUCCCACUUUGGUGGUUUUCAAGCCCUAAAACACCAAACUCCAUGUGUUUGUGCUUAAUAAUCCGAAAGGACUUCAGAUCUAGACUUUAUGGACGUGUUAGAAGCAUAAAGUUGUUGUGGUUGAAGUCAUUGAGGACCCCCAUGGAGUGCAUGACCUCUUAAAGAGCUUGGAAUUGCAUUUUUUAGCUUAUAGGGCCAUGCAUGCAUGUAAAGUUUGCAACUUUACGUGUUAAGCAUGCCCUAGGAUCAUAGAUUUGUGGUUUUGAAGAGUUGCAUGUCUCAGAUUUGGCUCAUAUGGGAAAUGGGUCAAGGGACUCGGCGAGUUCUAUGAAUAUAGCCUUAGACUCGGCGAGUUGGAUGAACAACUCAACGAGUCCUAUGAAGAUUGCCUGGUACUCGACUAGUUAUUCUUCAAACUCGGCGAGUUGUAUGAACUGUUAUUGUGUACGAAGGGUUUAAGUGUCAGAAGUCCAACCCUUCGUGUUUGCACGUAGGAUUAGCAAUCUAACGUGUUCCGAUAGUCCCAGAAACCCCAGAUCCUCAUGAAGGAUGUUCGGAUAAGGAUCUGGAAGCGAGUGGGAAGUCUGCUCGCAUGGACUCGGCGAGUUGUUCAUGGACUCGGCGAGUUGUUCAUAGACUCGGCGAGUUGUUCAUGGACUCGGCGAGUUGGAUCGCGAGUCGGUCCCAUCGUCCUGAGUGGUGAGUUAAGGACGAUUCAGUGAGUGGGAAGAAGGGGCUUGUAGAGUGGAACCGGGUUAGUGGAGAAGGGCUCGGCGAGUCGGUGCCAUGACUCGGCGAGUCCAGUCAACUGGAAGUUGACCUUGACUAAGGAGUUGACCUGGGUCGAAGGGAGGGUCAGUCAUCUGACCUAAGGGUGUGAAUGAGAGGCUAACCUAUGUUUAUGAUUUAUAGUCGGAAGAUUUCUGAUUCAGCAGUCAGGCGCUUAGCAAGCAGACUUCCGUAGUUACUUUCGAGGUGAGUUACCUUCCAGUAGCAGUGGGUCUACGGCCACAAUGACGGCCCACCAGUAGGAGUUGUAUGUAGAUGAUGGUCUCUGUGAUAUUCAUCUAGGGAUUACUACUACAUGUGUUAUGUUUAUGUGCUAGUAUGAUAUGAUGCUAGGUGCUAGUGACAGUAGGGGGAUAUAGUCCCCAAGAUAUUCGGUCGAUAGGGCCGAAGGGGUAGUCAUACCCAUCCCUGCUAGAUAGAUUCUGAUAUUGUGAUACCUGUUAUGUGGUAGUAGUAGAGGGGAGAAAUAGUCCCCAAGAUAUUCGGUCGAUAGGGCCGAAGGGGUAGUCAUACCCAUCCCUGCUAGAUAGAUUCUGAUAUUGUGAUACCUGUUAUGUGGUAGUAGUAGAGGGGAGAAAUAGUCCCCAGUAUCCGGUCGAGAGGACCGAAGGGGAGGCCAGCACCCAGAUAUGCUAGGCAGUACCCGGUCGAGAGGACCGAAGGGGAGGCCAGCACCCAGGUAUGCUAGGCAACAUCCGGUCGAGAGGACCGAAGGGGUAGGUUGGGCACCCAGAUAUGCCUGACAAUAUAUGUAUGUUAUGUGGUUAUAUGGUAUGUGGUACAGUGGGGGAACUCACUAAGCUUCGUGCUUACAGUUUCAAUUUUGGUUUCAGGUACCUCUUCUUCGAAGGGGAAGGAGCCAUCGCGGUAGCGGUACAUCACACACAUGCUUUGCUUUCCGCAUCAUGAGAUCCUCUUGGGAAAUUGUACUCUGGCCCUUUAAUGUUUUAUAAAAAUGUUUCUAGACAUGAAGUACCUUUUGUGAAAUGAUAUCACCGUUGAACCUUUUAUUUCUAAUGUUUUGCCGUGUACUUGUUUUAAAAAUGAAAUUUUUGACUCGUAUUUUUGGGAUGUUACAAGUUGGUAUCAGAGCCCUGGUUUGAGGGAUUCGGACUCACCUUCGGGGGUGUCUGAACUGAAAUCAAGGGAUUAAAAGAUUUUCCAAAAAGAAAUGUUUUCUAAGAAUUAAAAAAAAAGGGUUUUGAGAAAGAACGAAGUGUGUGAUGUGCGCAACCGGCCGAGCUCAAGUAAGUAUUCCCCAAAGUACCCAUACAAGCUUAUGUUGUGUUUAUCAGUUUCAGUAGAACAGCAUGCUAGAAUAGGACUAAGGAUCUAGGAGUGAUGCCUUAUGUGCCUGCUUUAUGUGCUUCAGUGUAUGAAAAUCGCAUGCUAGAAUUGAGUAAACGGCAGUAGGAUAGCCUGUUAGGUUAUGCCUGAUAGUAUGAGUUUAGCUCUGUAUGCUAGUUCAGUUUCUCUCUAUGAGGGCGGAUUUGCUUGAGAUUGUUCCCUUAGUUCGAAUGUUGCUUGCUUUGUGCUUUGUGGGACUCUGAGUGGUGGGAGUUAGACAUUAGGUGAAUACGUCACGUCACAUGUGAUCAGGGUUGAAUAAUCUUAGAGUGCUAGAUUUGGCCCUAUUGUGCAGCUCUCGUUUGAGUCUAACCGUUGUAGGGACGAGUCUGUUACUCGAAGUAUUAUCCGAGCCUCACCACAUGUGACGGUAUUCAGGUAAUGGUUAAUUGGCAUUACUAGGAGGCCUUCAGCGGCUGAGGACCUGGUAGGGUGGAGCCUGAGAUUUCCCUAGGGAAAGCCUAGGAUGAGUAUAGCGAUGAUCAGCAGUAGUGGAAGGGAUCUGGUGGAGUCAAGGCAGUCCUUGAAGAAGGUACAGAUAGAUAUGGAAGGUAGUAUAAGCCCGUACUACUGAAAGCAGAGGAUCCGUACCCGAACCAAGGAAGGCCAAGAUAAGACCAGGGAACUUGUAAGUAGUUGUGAUCCCUCAAGAAGUAUCAGUAUCACUAAUGAUUGUUAUUAUGUAUUGCAGAAUGGUGGUACUACGAUCGAGGCCGAUAGAUGGCGGUUCAGGAGAGGGGUCAGGUUCGGGAUCAGGUUCCGAGCCAGUGGAUGAGGGACUACGCGAGUUCAUCGCGUCAGAGAUCACCAGGGAUAGUCGACCCCCAUUAUCUUCGGGUCGAUCAAGGAGGGGAUCGUCGAGUUGAUGCAUCAACCACCAGGAUUUGUAAACUCUUCUUUCCCCGGUUAUGUUUGCAAGUUACGCAAAUCACUAUAUGGUUUGAAACAUGCCCCACGAGCUUGGUAUCAAAGGUUUUCUCAAUACCUUCUUAGCAUUGGGUUUGUAUAGAACAAGAGUGAUAAUUCUCUAUUUACCUUAUGCCGAAACAACCAAUAUGCUUAUCUUCUUGUCUACGUUGACGAUAUUAUUCUUACAACUUAUUCUCCUCAACUCAAAUAUGAUGUCAUAUCUUCACUCAAGACAUAAGUUGAUAUAAAUGAUCUUGGAAAACUCACAUAUUUAUUGGGAAUUUUUGUCAGUUACUCAUCGGGUGGUAUGUUCCUGUCUCAACAUAAAUAUACUACCAAAAUCCUCAAAAGCACUAAAAUGGAGAGUUGUAAUCCCGUUGCUACACCCACUGAUACUAAUUCCAAACUCAGCGCAACUGGUGGUGAUUCCAUUCAAGAUGUAUCAAAUUAUCGUCAAUUGGCUAGUGCCCUUCAAUAUUUAACUUUCACUCGGCCCGAUAUAGCCUAUGUUGUUCAACAAAUUUGUCUAUUCAUGCAUGCACUAUGGAAACCACAUUUGAAUGCCUUAAAAAGGAUCGUACGAUAUUUGAAAGGCACUCAAAAAUCUUGGUUUACACUUAAACAAAUCCACACCUUCUCAACUCAUUGCUUAUAUAGAUGUCGAUUGGGGUGGCUGUCCAGACACUCGUCGAUCUACUUUAGGAUAUUGUGUCUUUAUAGGAGACAAUAUGUCUUGGUCCGCUAAGCGACAACCAACUCUUUCCCACUCCAGCGUUGAAUCGGAGUAUCAGAGUGUGGCAAAUGUGGUUGCUAAGGCUUGCUGGUUGCGUAAUCUUCUUCAUGAGCUACAUACCCCUCUUAAGACUGCUACAUUGGUGUAUUGUGACAAUGUUUCAGCGGUCUAUCUUUCGGGAAACCUUUUCAACAUCAACGCACCUAACAUAUCAAGAUGGGCAUUCAUUUUUUUAGAGACAAGGUGGCUCUCGGUCAUUUUCGAGUUCUUCAUGUUCCGCCCGCCUAUCAUUUUUCCAAUAGUUUCACUAAAGGGUUGCGUCGCCAAUUUUUCUUGGAUUUUAGAUUCAGUUUGAGCAUCCGUCCUCCUUCUACUCCAACUGAGGGAGGCUAUUAGUUGAUAUUGUAUAGAUAUUAUUUUCAUUUAUCUAUGGAAGUUAUUCUUCCCUUCAUUAUAGGGAUUCAAUUGUACUUAUAUAUACAGAUACAUAAUGAAUGAGAAGGCAAAGGAAAAUUCAUAUUGUUUUACAGCUACGAGACAAACGGCCAAGUCAUUGUCGCAAUAGAUCAAAGUAGCUUGUUAAAUUGGAAGGUGAAGUUACAGUAGAAGGUUUCUGGCCCAGCUAGUUUCAACGACGACAUUAGCAAUGCCUUUGUAUUCAGACUCCGCACUUGACCGAGAGAUGGUGGCUUGUCGUUUUGAAGACCAUGAUAUAAGGUUAUCGCCCAAAAACAAAAAGUAUCCUGAUGUGGAACGUCUUGAGUCGGGGCAUCCUCCCCAGUCAUUAUCGGUAUAUGCGGUUAGUUUCAUAUAUUGGUUUGCACGAAAGUGAAGUCUAUGUGUAAUAGUUCCUUGAAGAUAACGAAGUAUACGUUUGAGGAACUAAAAAUGGAAUUCUCUUGGUGCAUGUAUGAACCGGUAGAGUUGUUGAACGAUGUAAGUAAUGUCCGGGCGUGUGAAUGUGAGGUAUUGUAGUGCUUCGGCUAGGCUUCUAUAUAGGUAUCCAUUGGUUAGAAGGGAGCCUGAUUCGACACUGAGUUUUGAGCCCGUGUCAACUGGAGUUGUGAUUGGUUUGCAAUUUGACAUAUUUGUUCGUUGUAGUCUUUCCUUGGAAUACAUGGCCUGCGAUAAAAAUAAACCCGAGGAGGUCCUUUUGGUGGUGACACGAGAAAAUUGUGUAAGGGACCUAGGUCUGUCAUUACCAACUUAGUAAAAAAAAAGUGUGUAUGAUUCUUUUUAGAAGUUUGUCAUUUGAGGUCGUAAGAAUCAUAUCGUCUACAUAUAGUAGGAGAUAGGAUGUAGCAUUUCCUUUGUGAAAAUGAAUAGAGAGUAGUUGGAGAUGCUAUGUGUUGAAUCGACUGUACCACUCUCGGGGUGCUUUUUUAAGGCCAUAGAGAGAUUUUUGUAAACGAUACACAUGGUUAGGUUUCUUUCAGUCCACAAAAUCGGGGGGUUGAUGCAUGAAAGUUGUCUCGUUUAGAUCCCCCUGUAGAAAUGCAUUUUUCACGUCAGGUUGACUAAUAGGUCGUGUGGGUUUCACCACUGGACUAAAAGUUUCGUCACAUUCAAGGCCCACCUUUUGGGAUUUUCCGUUAACGACCAAGCGUGCCUUAUAUCUUUCAAAAGACCCGUCAGAUCAAUGUUUGUGGCGGUAAAUCCACAUGCAACGUAUGACAUUAGAGUUCGUAGUCCGUGGGAUAAGAUCUUGCGUGUGAUUUUGUUGCAAGGCUUUGAACUUGGUGGUCAUAGCAUCCCACCAGUUUGGGUCGGUAAGGGCUAAGUGAGGUGAUUUUGGUGAAUAGGAGAUGGUUGGGGAGGAGUAAGUAUGAAGGUUCAUAGGUUGUCAUGGUUUGAAUAUACCACGUUGGGAUCAGGUAGCCAUGUCGUGGCAUGGUGGUUGCAGAUUAGAUGGAGGUGGUGAAGGAGGGGGUAUAUAGGUAGUAGGUACAUUGGUGGGAGAAUAUGGAUCCGAGGGCGAUUGGGUUGUAUGUGGAGGAUCUGUAGGUUGUGAGGGGGUGGAGAUGUAUUAGGUGUGGUGGUUGGAAAGAAAAUAUCAAAAAGAUUAGGGGGAAGGGUAGAGCUCCCGGUUUGGGUAGGGUAGGGAUGAGUGGUGGAAUAUGGAAAUUUCAUUUCGUCAAAGGUGACAUUAUGAGACAGGAAAACUCUACCGUAGGAGAGUUCAAGACAACAGUAUCCUCGGUAAUUUGGUGGGUAACCAAGAAAGAUGCAAAGGGCGGAGCGAGGGUCGAGUUUGUGUGUUCGGUUUGGUGAUCGGUUUGGGUAACAUGCACACCCAAAUAUACAUAGAUGGUCUUAGGUAGGGUGUCGAUGAGAAAGAGCGGAAGCGAGGGUUCGAUGGUUAAGGGUUUUAGUGGAAAGGAUGUUAUGAAAGUAGGCAGCGGUGUGAAGGGUUCAACCCAAAAUAAUGGUGGGAGUGAAGCAUGAGCGAGUAAUGCAAGUAUGAUUUCAUUUAGACGACGAAUCAUUCUCUCAACUUUGCCAUUAUGCGGGGAGGUUUGGGGGCAAGAAAAACGAAAGUGUAACCCGUGGGUGUUUGCGAAGUUGUGAAAAUGGGUGUUAUCAAAUUCACAACCCAUGCCACAUUGGAAUGUUUUGAUGGUCGAGUUGAACUGAGUAUGUAUGUACGUAUGAAAUUGUUUGAAUUUGAAAGUUUCAAACUUGAAUUUGAGGGGAUAGACCCAAACGUAUUGUGUGAAGUUGUUAAUUAGGACCAUGUAAUAUUUGAAACCGGAGUUGAUGGGCACAGGUGAAGUCCAUAAUUCAUAAUGGACUAUGUCAAAUGGAAGUAAGGUGGUGCUUUGUGAAUCAUUAAACGGUAGGUGUUUAUGUUUAGAGAUUUGAUAUGAGUUGCAAAUAUGAUUCAAACGACUAGUUUUAUUACAUGAGAUAAAUGAAUUUAAACGAAGUUGAUCUAAGACAUUAUCGCCAGGAUGGGCAAGAAGAGCAUGCCAUAACUCUAAACUGGAAGUAGAAAGCAAAACAGUUGCAGAAGAUGUUGCUUGUGUAAUAGGAUAAAGGUCACCAAAGCUAUUAUGUCGGGAAAGGAUCGUCCUACUCAUCAACUCCUUCACAGAAAAACCACAAGGGUCAAAUUCAAUAGAUAAAUUGUUAUCACAUGUGAACUGUCUAACAUAAAUGUUGUUCUUAAUGAUUUGUGGUGCGUGAAAGACGUUAUUCAAUAGAAUGGUGUGAUUUGGAAGUGUAAGAGUGGUUUUCCCAGAUCCAAGGAUGAGGAUACUAUGACCAUUUCCAACAUAGACGGACCGAAUAUAGUUGAUAUUAUGGGUUUUUGAAAUUAUACCUUCAUCACUUGUGAUAUGGGAUGUUGCUCUGGUAUCCAUGAACCACUGAGAUGAAUCUGGUGGUUCCAAGGUCAUCAUGUUGAGGGCUUCACCGAGGGCACUCGGGUCUAGAGGAUCCGUUUCAGCAAGUUGAGCAGAUGGUUAUUGGGCUUAGCGUAGCAUUUAGGCUGUUCGAUCACUUAUGGGCUGAUGUGGUCCAUAAUUCCAAGGAUAAGCCCAAUCGGGUUGAGCUGGGAAGGGACUUGGUGGAGAUGCAUAGGUUGCCCAGUGAGGAUAUGGGGUAUAACCAGUUGGAGCGGGAGGAGGCCGACUGCUUUGGUAUUGUCGUUCAUUUCCAUGACAUUGAUUAGUGGAGGUUUGGCCACCACGUCCUCUCUGAGGUGUGUGCUGAGGGCGACGAUUUUGCAAAGUCUAUCGCCUAUGAGGAGGUGCAUCAUGAGCUUGAUUGGUGUGUGCAGUAACAAGGGUGCUACCUGGUGUGAAGUUUCCUUCACAGGUUGACUGGCGGUGUUGCUCCAGUUGUAGCAUACUACAUGCUAUGUCCCACAAAGGUAGUCUUUGGUUAAUGAAAGAUGCUACGGUGUCAAAUUCAAAAGGAAUUCCACGAACCAGUUGAAGAACAAGACGAUCAUAUGUGACAGGGCUCUCGACAUCAUCAAGUUUGUGUGUCUAAGUCCUUAAGUCGUUGACAAUAGUCGUCUAACGAAGACAUGGAUGAAAGUUUCAAGUUGUUGAACUCAUGUUCUUAGGCUGUUGCAUGGGAUCCUUUAUUGUUGUGGAAGAUUAAUUUGAGUUUCCUCCAAGCAUCGCCUACGGUGGUGUUGGGUUCCAGAAUUCGAAUGAGAAAAGUGACUGAAAGUGUACCAUAAAUCCAUUGAAGAACAAUGACAUCAACUUUGGACCAUGAGUCAUAGUCGGCAUCACCGGGUAUGGGUGGAGCACUACCGUCAAUAUGAUGUAGGACCUUGUAGCCUUUGGUAUGGAGUUUGAACAACUUUACCCAUGAUGAAGAGGUGACUUUUGUGCCAUCAAAAACAUGUAUGUUAUGCUGGAUAUUAGUGACGGCGUAUACUAGGUGAGGGUUGGUUUUACAUGUUUUGUCUUUUCGACAGCAGGAGCAUAUUUUCCGUGGCAAAUAUGAGAAGACGAUAAAUAGUGAGGUUAAACAUCAUAUAAAUAGAAAUACAUAUGAGACCUAAUCUAAACCUUAAAUUGAUUGAAACUAAACCCUAAUCACUAACACCCCCCCCCCCCCCCCCCCCNNNNNNNNNNNNNNNNNNNNNNNNNNNNNNNNNNNNNNNNNNNNNNNNNNNNNNNNNNNNNNNNNNNNNNNNNNNNNNNNNNNNNNNNNNNNNNNNNNNNNNNNNNNNNNNNNNNNNNNNNNNNNNNNNNNNNNNNNNNNNNNNNNNNNNNNNNNNNNNNNNNNNNNNNNNNNNNNNNNNNNNNNNNNNNNNNNNNNNNNNNNNNNNNNNNNNNNNNNNNNNNNNNNNNNNNNNNNNNNNNNNNNNNNNNNNNNNNNNNNNNNNNNNNNNNNNNNNNNNNNNNNNNNNNNNNNNNNNNNNNNNNNNNNNNNNNNNNNNNNNNNNNNNNNNNNNNNNNNNNNCCCCCCCCCCCCCCCCACCACACCCCACCCCCCCCCCCCCCCCCCCCCCCCGCAGUUUGAUCGGGAGGGGAUGAUUAAACUAGAAAACAAAAACAUAAAGCAUAACAUAAAUUAAGACAGUGGCAGCGACGGUGGUAGAGCUCUAACGAUGACGGCUAACAACAACUGCUCGUUAGAGAAGGAGAAAGAAGAAGCGACGAUCAACUGUGGUUCCUUUGUAUAAGAAGAGAGGAGCGGCCGCGGCAACGAUCAUCGAGUUGGCGGCAGAGGAGUCCAGAGAAAAGCAGUGAGAAAGAAUGGGGGUUCGAGCUGCAGUGAACGGAUCCUAUUCCGACUAAUUUGGAAACUAGUUCUAAAGAAGAGACAAGUUAAGGAGAAGGCAGAAAGCUUAGAGGCAGGAGCUAUCCACGAGGAGACAUAAGCAAAUGAGGUAGUAGAAGAAGCUGAGGCAAGAGCUCUAGUUUGGUGUCCGCGACUGUUUUAUUAUUUAGGAAGAGAAAAAAAAAACAAACGAAGAGAAUAUGAAGCAUAAUGAAAGCGGCGGUAACAUGUUGUGGUCAACGCUAGGAUUUUAACCUAGAGUUGUGAUACCAUGUUAUAUAAUAGAAAGUUUCAUUGAUAAAUAGUAAGAUUAAACAUAAUAUAAAUAGAAAUACAUAAGAGACCUAAUUUAAACAUUAAAAGACUUGGGCCUAAACCAUAAUCACUAACAAAACGAAAAAGUAAGAUUUCACGUUGUCUUCGUAUAGAAGCCUUCUAGAUACGUUUAUGUAUCAUUUCCUAAAAUGUUAAUUAUGUGAAAACGCUUUGCUUCUACAGAGCUAAUUAUUUCUAAUUAAAUUCCUGUUAACAAUAUCACAUCCAGUAAAACAGGUCCUAAUAUGAUUUGAUUUUGUGUUUUAUAUUAAAUAAAUUUUAUUUAAUAAAUGAUAAAAUUUUCAUUUUCUAAUAACAUUACAAAUAUAUUUACAAAAUGAGUAAAGGAAUCAAACUCAUUUUCCUAUUUUAUCACAAAAAAGUGACAUUUAUUUUCGGAAAAACAAUUUCACACAAAAUUCUGCAUGUGACAGUUUAGGCUUUUAAUAUACAUAAAAAUACACCAAUAAAUAUUAAACAACUCAAAAAAAUUAUCCCAAAAAUAUUAAAGUAUUUAAAAGGACCUUUCGCACUUAUUUUUGAUUAAUUGUGAAUUUUCAUUUCGUUCUAAAUUCAAUGUUUUUUUUCUCUGCAAAUAACGAAAAAAAGGGUUUUUUUAUUUAAAGGAAAUGAUCAAAAGGAUGAAAAGCAGACGAAUUUAAAUUCAGAUAAUACAUUCAUUCAAAAAAGUAAGGAUAAAAGAAUUUUAAAAGAAGGGCAAAGGUGAAAACCUGAAUAUUAGUGUUAUGCAUUGUCACCAAGUUUAUAAAAGUAAAAUAAAUAAAUAAAUAAUAAAACUGGAUUGUAUAAUACUGUUUGGUACCAAAUCAAACUCUGAUUUAAGACUUGUUUUUGGUCAAUUAUUUACGUCUAAUUUGUGUGACAUAUGUUGUUAAUUUAGUAUAAUAAGACUCAUAAUGGACAAUUACUGUAAAAAUAUAUAUGCCGAUUCUUUUAUUGUGAUGAAAACAAACUAGUUAACUAGAUGUACAUGUUCAUAUUGAGCUUAAUAUGAUUUGAAUUUUAAUUUUAUCCACGGUAAUACUUUUUACUAAGUUUUAAAGGAUUCUAUAUAAACCUGACACAGCUCGACAACUCGAUAUAAAAUUAACUAGUUUGAGUAAAAGAUUUUAAUACAUUUAAGUAACAGGUUACACGACAUAACAAAAAAAAUUAUAUGAGUUGUAUUAGGGUUAAGAUUUUCAGUUUGAAAAUGACUCAAAUAUGAUCUAUUUAAAGAUAUAUUAUUAUUUUUUUUAUAAAUAUUAGUAUGUAAUUACUAUUAAUAAUAAAUAUAAAUAUCAAAAUAAAGUAUGAAAAGGACAAAAAAAUGGCAUACAAAAAAAAGUUAGUGGCAUAAUUGAAGUACAUGUUUUCCUUUAUUAAAAUACCAAAAUGGAAGUAUAUGUAUCGUAGCCUAAAACUUCUGAAUAUAUAUACUAUUCGUGUGUGUGUAUACAUUGAGAUGUAAAUAUGGGAAUAUAUAAUUUAAAAAAGAAAAGUAAAAAAGGACCCACGUGUAUAUAAACAAGACAUGUUGUUACACGUGAGUUCUAGGAGGAGGAGGUUCCUUCCCACGUGAACUCCACUCUACACGGUCGUCAUAGGGUCCCACCUUCUUCUCUAGCUUUCUUCUUCUUCUUCUCCACUUUCCGAUUCGGCUCGGCUCGACUCGGCUUAAAUCUCUCUAAUUGGGUACUUUACUUUACUUUACUUUACUCACCCAUAUGAUAUGAAGACAUUUCGUAGUUGACAAUUUUACCCUUUACCACCCUCGUAUUCUGGAUUUCACAUGUACCUGCCUUCAAAAGCCACGGCUCACAUUAUCUUUGUCUCUAAAAGCUUUUCCUUUACUUUUAAAUAUUUUUGGGUACUUCUAUUAGCACGAAUAAGUUCGUGUAUAAGCAAUUAUUACAUUAGUUUGAUUAAUCGAUCCCAUAAUAUCAGUUACAUAACUUCAUUCGUUUUCAAAAAAAAAAAAAAUCAUUUUAUUCUCUGUAAACUAGAUGAAAGUUACAAAACACACCCUUAUAUUUUUUAUUCUAUCAUNUAUAUAUACACACACACAUAUAUAUAUGGGUGUUGCUAUUAACAUAUCUUUUAAACACUCUAUAGACACAUUUCUUAUUGCUAGCAAAUACAACAUAAUUGUUUAUUUUAUAAGCAAAAUGGUUCGUCAACAUGUUUUUUACUAUGACUUGGUCCCCAAGACAUCUCAAAUCAUAGAGCUAUUGACAUCGAUCUUGUUCAAUGUAUUCAUUAUGUGAAGGUUGAUUUACAAUGAGCAUAUCAAAUGCCAAUUAUUUUGCCACUUUGGCGUUACUACAUAUCAACACAAUUUGAUGGAUGAGAAAUUGUUUAUGUUGCUUGACUGAAUUCAUAUAUUCUUCCAUUUGCAUCAUACAAUAAUUAUAAUAAUUCUAUAGUUGAGUUAUCUGAUGAUUAAUAAAACCAAAAUUAUAUUUUAUUUCGUAUAAAUCUUAUAGUUCUUGAGAUCUCAAUAAAUAAAAUAAGUUUGUGUUGGGUAGUAGCAUAUAUUAAUAUAAAUAAAAAAACAGACUUAGUAAUAAAUUUGAAUAAUAUCAUAUUGUAACUUCCCAAAAAUAGUGAUAAAUUUUCAAAUUCAUCAAUCACAUAUAUCAUAUGUCUCAUAAACAUCCAUAAUACAAACUAUCCAAAACAUCAAAGUAAAAGAAUUCAUAUUUGCGGAAACAUGAGGGGGAUAAUAUUGUGCCAUUAUGUUGGGUCCUUCCCUUUCGUACCAGAAGUACCUAAAACCAUAGACAUAACUAUAAGUACAAAGCUUAAUGAGCUUCCCCAAAAUACCACAUACAAAAUACACAUAAAUAUAACAACAUGUGGCUUUGUCGGGUCCGUAUCAACCCUCAGGUCUGUAUCAACCCUAAGUGCAUAAUGAAUCUGAGCCCAUAUUGGCUCAAUGCAUAUAUCAUACAAUCAUAUCAGUAAUAGUCGCAUAGUCAUAUACAUCCUACACAUAUGAAUAAGCGGGCCUACAUUGGUGCCUUCGACCAACUAGUGUGGUGAGAAGAUUCACCUCAAACUGAAGAUAUCCAAAUCACAUACUUGAGCUGCUGCUACCACGGCUCCUCACACUGAUCAUAACCUAAAGUUAACCUUAAUUAAUAAUCGGGAUUUUAACCCAUAAUCGAAGGUCCAACUCAUCUUUUCUCUUACUAAGGGAAAAAUACCAUUUUGCCCUUCCCAUAUAUGACCUAAAUAAUCAAGGCCCAAAACCUCUAAUCUCCCAAUGCCCAAAAAUGGCCCAAACGGUCUUAUGGGGGUACGUCCUACGUACCCCAUAUUACGCCCAACGUACUGGUUGAUCUUGGAAGGGUUACGGGGCCACAACCCACUAUACUCACCGUACUUAGGGAUUACGCCUAACGUAACCACCUGAUGCGCAAACUCUCAAUUAAGCUAUUAAUGCUUAAAGACCUAAUGUCCAAACUUCAGAUCUAACCCUAAUGAACGUCUAAAAACAUAAAGUUGCAACCUUUAUGCCUUUGCAUGGCUACAAGGAGUCCAAAAUCCAACCUAAGUCUUAUUCAUGACCCAAAAGUUUUCUAGCAUGGCUGAAUGGGAAAGACCAAGAUCCUACAUUUGUGAAUCACAAAGCUCUGAAAUGAAAAGAAACACUCUUCAUGAGGUCUGGAGUGAACUUUAUACCUUCUGGAGGUUGCUAGGAAGGUGCAAAUCCCAUAUCUACAAAUGUUUGAAGCUUCCAAGUGCACUCCACAGAUCUCCUUCCUUCAAGAAUGGACACGCAACACACAAAAAGCUCAAAAUCUCACGAAAGAAAGCUAGGGUUUGCAAAAGGGGUCGUUUAGAGGAUGGAGGUUGAAGGUAAGGGAGGGCUUAAGGUGAUAAUGUCCUUUAAAUAGGAUCUAAACCCUAAAAGUUAGGGUUGGGGAUUUUCGUGAGUACGCCUAGUUUACUCAUACAUAUGCCCAACAUAUGCAAAAGAACCCAUGUCACCUUUUAAUGAACUACAUGUUGGAUUAGAUGUCUAAGCCCAUAACUAUAAUUGGUAUGUACUUGACCCGAUAGUAGCAUGGUCCUUUUGGGUUGCCUUCACCAUAACAACUGGAAAUAAUGAGUUUUGGAGAAAGAGGUUAUUUAAAUGAUUUAUUAAUAUAUUAUAAGAAUAAUAUACUAAUUGAGAAAUCAUAUUAUUUAAUUAGUAUUGAUCAUAAAUUAAUUUGGAAUUAAUAUAGUGAUCAAAAGAGACUGAUUAAAAGAACGGGGACUGAUUAUGUAAAUCAGUAAUAAUUAUAGUUUGGGCUAAUGGAUCCUAUUGGUAUAGGGUGGACGAAAAUCUAUGGGAAGCCCAUAGAGUUUUCGUCUAAGGCUUACUAUGUGGGGGUCCAUGUGUUGCUUAGCGCCUAAGCAAGGGAAAUUAGGCUUUCCAGCCUCAUGAAAUCGGCCACUGCUUCCGUAGAAGAAACCCUAGCCGAUUUCUGCCUCUCAUCCUCCUCAUUCUUUGAUUGUGGUGUUUGUGACUCCAUUAGAGGUGCAACGCUUGAGGCACUAAGCUCUUGAAGGUCAAGAUCAAGGAAAGGAUGACUUGUUACUACUAGUUAACAAGAAAGGUAUUCUUCUAACUCUAGUUUAUUCAUUGAAUUCGAAAAUAGUAUAGUAGUUUAGGGUUCUUGCUUUGGAAAAUUGAUUUGCAUGACUUGAGAAAAAACUAGAUCCAAAUCAAUUAGGGUUGCAUGUGCACCAUAAGAAUGUUGUAAUGCUCAAAACCCAUCACUACGCUUUGUGUACCCAUAAGGUACGACCCAUGUAAGGACUGAAAUAACCAUACUUUUAUACUUAAAGCCAAAAUUGGAAAGUACCUAGAACACGGACGUUACAUAUAUUAAUAGAAUUUUAGAAAUAAUAUUAUACUACUAGAAUAAAACAACAGACACUAAAUAAAAUUUUAAAUAUAGUAAUAAAUAUAUUAUAUAAAUAGAAGGGUUAUAAAUUAAAAUAUAUUUAAAUAUAAACUGGUUUUUGAAAGUUUAUGUAGGAUUUGACCAAAUUAAAUGUAAUCGAUCAAUUUACUCAAUUCAAUCGUGCCAAUGGAAAAGGUUUCAUGUAUUUAGAAUCUCCGAUAUUUUUAUACAUGCUCGUUAUUGUAUGAUUAUGUUUUUUCAAUUAGAUAUUUAUUCAAAAAAUAUUUUUAAAAAAUUAUAUAAUUGGCGGGAUGUAAGUAGCGAUCUCGAUGAAUCACUGUCAUGCUUUAUCUAGGCCCAAUCAGGUCUGACCUCAAGACUCGAUCCGAGUUCAAAUCAAGUAUAACCUACAUAUUAUUUGUGUUUUAGAGUUUGUAUUGAGAACGAGAUGAACUAGUAUUCGAUGGGGGAACUAAGGAUGAAUCGAGAAAAUUGAAGAGGGUGAUAUUCACGAAUCAAAACAAGAUGGUUGAAGAUGACAAGUGGUGUUUAUCAUAUUCAAAAAGGAUUCCUCAACACCUAGGGAGAAAAUAGUCAAUUUGUAAUUUUAUUUGAUUUAUAAUAAUUUUAAAAUGAAAAAUAAUAUAAAAUAUUAAAAAAUAAAGAUUUGAGCAAAUAUGAUAUUUUGAAAGUUUAUAAAGGAAAAAUAUGAUAUUUAGAAUUAUUUUGGAUAAAUACAAUAUUUUGAUGUUUAAGAAGGAUAUAUAUAUUGUAACAUCCGGAUUCGUUGAGUGCUCUCAGUGGUUUGAUGAAGAAGAAGAAGGAAAAGAAGGUGCUAUAGUGUGUGGAUUUAACAAGCAAGUCUCAUCAUUCUUCUUUUGUGCAAUCCCUGAACCUUUGUAAAUGUCCAAGAUCCUAGCUUUAUGUUGCUUGCUCUUAGAUCUAAGCGUUUUGUCCCUUGAUCUCCAUAUUGUGAAAGUUUGGAAGGAUCAAUUCCGUAAAGUUGGUUAUUUAUGGAUCCUCAUGGUCCCUUUGAGGAUUGUAUGGUUCAGAUAUGAAGUUUCUUGUCUUAUUUGGAUUCAUGCAUAAAGUUGGGGUAAUUUUCUCAUGACUAUGACCUAAUUUGGGUAUGACAUGAAUCAAAUAUUCAUGUCUAUAAAGCCACGAUUUUUUGGUCCACUAGGUGUAGGAAACUCUUCUGGAACUUGGGAGAAGUGACAUUGGUUGAUUAAGUGCUAAAUGGGUGAGUGAAUGCAUUAUGUUGUUAUAAAGGACUUAGGGUUUUGAGAUCUUGACUCAUUGGGAUGUCUUGAUGAAUAAACAUGGAAACUUUAUCCAUCAAGACAUGGGGAAGGACCAGAUUUGGGCUUUGGAGCCCUUGGAUUAGGAAGAAAAAAACGUAAGCUUGAUUAAGAUGAUCAGACUAGUUCUCACGACAUGGCCUUAGGCUGCCACAACGUGGGGACUAGGAAAACAACCAAAUGUUUUGACAUUUAGUGCCCAUGACAUGGCUGAAGGAGGGACAUGACGUGAAGGCUUGUUGGAGCUAUUUUUUGACUUGAUUGGGAUUCUGAUAGGGUUUGGACUCGUUAGCCACGACGUGGAGAUCGACUGAUAUUGACUUUAACAUUAAUAAUUGACUUUGAGGGUUGACUAUUGACUUGAUUAACUUUUGGUCAAAUUGCUAGUUUUGGUAGAUAGGCUAAGGGUUUAUCUUGUGUGGUGAUUUAGGUGGCGUUUAACACCUAUUUCCUGGCUGUGCGAGUCAUUGACUUUUGACUUCAUUAGCGAGGUGAGUCUUCACUAUACUGUGUAGGAUGUUAGCUGUCUUUGUGACUCUUACAUGUGUAUGUUGGGCUAGACCCAUUUGUUAUAUGUUGGGUUGUGCCCAUUUAUUAUAUGUUGGGUUGUGUCCAUUUAUUAUAUGUAUGUUGGGUUGGGUCCAUUUAUUAUAUGUUGGGUUGAGCCCAUAUAUAUAUAUAUAUAUAUAUAUAUAUAUAUAUAUAUAUAUAUAUAUAUAUGUGUGUGUGUGUGUGUGUGUGUGUGUCAUAUGUUANNNNNNNNNNNNNNNNNNNNNNNNNNNNNNNNNNNNNNNNNNNNNNNNNNNNNNNNNNNNNNNNNNNNNNNNNNNNNNNNNNNNNNNNNNNNNNNNNNNNNNNNNNNNNNNNNNNNNNNNNNNNNNNNNNNNNNNNNNNNNNNNNNNNNNNNNNNNNNNNNNNNNNNNNNNNNNNNNNNNNNNNNNNNNNNNNNNNNNNNNNNNNNNNNNNNNNNNNNNNNNNNNNNNNNNNNNNNNNNNNNNNNNNNNNNNNNNNNNNNNNNNNNNNNNNNNNNNNNNNNNNNNNNNNNNNNNNNNNNNNNNNNNNNNNNNNNNNNNNNNNNNNNNNNNNNNNNNNNNNNNNNNNNNNNNNNNNNNNNNNNNNNNNNNNNNNNNNNNNNNNNNNNNNNNNNNNNNNNNNNNNNNNNNNNNNNNNNNNNNNNNNNNNNNNNNNNNNNNNNNNNNNNNNNNNNNNNNNNNNNNNNNNNNNNNNNNNNNNNNNNNNNNNNNNNNNNNNNNNNNNNNNNNNNNNNNNNNNNNNNNNNNNNNNNNNNNNNNNNNNNNNNNNNNNNNNNNNNNNNNNNNNNNNNNNNNNNNNNNNNNNNNNNNNNNNNNNNNNNNNNNNNNNNNNNNNNNNNNNNNNNNNNNNNNNNNNNNNNNNNNNNNNNNNNNNNNNNNNNNNNNNNNNNNNNNNNNNNNNNNNNNNNNNNNNNNNNNNNNNNNNNNNNNNNNNNNNNNNNNNNNNNNNNNNNNNNNNNNNNNNNNNNNNNNNNNNNNNNNNNNNNNNNNNNNNNNNNNNNNNNNNNNNNNNNNNNNNNNNNNNNNNNNNNNNNNNNNNNNNNNNNNNNNNNNNNNNNNNNNNNNNNNNNNNNNNNNNNNNNNNNNNNNNNNNNNNNNNNNNNNNNNNNNNNNNNNNNNNNNNNNNNNNNNNNNNNNNNNNNNNNNNNNNNNNNNNNNNNNNNNNNNNNNNNNNNNNNNNNNNNNNNNNNNNNNNNNNNNNNNNNNNNNNNNNNNNNNNNNNNNNNNNNNNNNNNNNNNNNNNNNNNNNNNNNNNNNNNNNNNNNNNNUAUAUAUAUAAGUUCAAAAUUCAUAACAACUAAAAACCUAUUUGAAACUCAUAGGAAAGAAUAUAUUAAAAAUUAUAUACGAAUAACAUGUUUGGAACUCAUGGAACUAAUAUACUUUUUUCUUUUAAUCUUAUUUUGUAAAAAAUUUUAAGUGUUGUUUGUCUUUAAGUUCUCGUUAAACAAUGAAGAAUGAAUAUGACCUUAAAGGUUUUCUUGUCUACGAAAUGAAACCUUAAGCGUUCUUUUUUGCCAACAUACACCAAUCUGCGAUGAGAUGUCUAUUGACGUCCUUCACCCAAACUUUGUGUGUUGGGAGGACACAAUUGUAUUGGAUGGAACAUAUGGUGUAAAAAGUACUUGUUAUUCAUUGACCAAAUGUCAAGCCCAUUCCUCGUAUUUGGAUUUGUAGUCAAUUGAACUUUAUUCAUUCCAUGCAUCUAAGAAUGUUUAUCUGCCUCUUGGUAUUAUAGUAACUUAGGUAUAAGUAUGUUGGAGACUAAUUCUUCAGCAGAAUUAUUAUCGAUCUGAGGUAGAUAUUCCUUCUUAGUUUUCUUUUUGACUAAUGGUAGAUGUUUAUGAAAUAUAUCCUUUGUAUAUAACUUAUUUUGUUAUUAAAUAAAAGGAGAAUUUCAUAUAUGCCCCUCUUAACCUUAAAAUAUCAUAUUUACCCUGUUUAAUUUAUCAAUAUCAUAUUUAUCCUUCAUAAACCUUCAAAAUAUCAUAUUUGUCCAAAUCCUUUUUUAAAAUGUUUUUAAUAUUUUAUCAUCAUUUUUUUAUACUUAGAGUUAUUAUAAUAAUUAAAAAUUUAACCAUAUUAUCCUUUUUUUUAAAUGGAAUGCGAACUUCUAAAUUAUUGGAAUGUUGCCCUCUUGACAAACAAAAAGAUUCAUCUUCAACCAUCUCUAUGGAAUGUAUAUUGUGAUUGUUUAGUUUUUAAUGUUGUUGAUUAUUAUCAUGUUGUAGAUGGAUGAUAUUUUAGAUAUUACCAUUGACAUUUUAAUGUUUAAAAAGUGUAUAUACGAUAUUUUGAUAUUUAAAAAUGACAUAUAUGAUAUUUUGAUGUUUAAAAAGGACAUAUAUGAUAUUUAGAAAUUUUAUGAAGGGUAAAUAUGAUAUUUAGAAAUUAAGUUGGGUAAAAAUGAUAUUUUGAUGUUUAAGAAGGACGUAUAUGAAAUUCUCACUUAAAUAAAUAAAUUUAUGAGCUAAUUAAAUUCGGUAAUAUAUGUCGAUUAUAUGUAAUUUGUGUGUUAGUUGGUAAUAAAUACACUAUGUAAUUUGAACAUCAUAUAUGCAGCAAUGGCAUUAUCUUAUGACUUAUAAAAUGAUUGCAAAAAUAUUACAAAUAAUUCAUGAACAUCAUAUUUUAUAGAAAUAAAUGUUACAACAGUUAUCCCAUGACAAUGUGUUCAUUUAAUAAUAAUUUAUAUAAGUAUAUAAGAGUCGGUAGCAAGUUCUUGGACGACGACAACUCAUGUGAAAGAUUGAUUGCUGACACAUUUUUACUCGAGUUGCCAUCAAACCAAAAAAUAGAUGCUCGUUCCACCACCUUGAUGGAUCAUGUUAUCUUCUCUAUAUCUCCAAUUUCCAAGCCACUUCUUGUUUUAAUGAAAAAUUGUGAACUUGGUGAUGAUAAUUUACAAGUUGUUAAUUUUUUUUGGCCUUACUGCCAUCUUCCAAGGAGUGACCAAAUCUUAAGUCGACUUGUAAUGUUUUGUUUAGGACAACAUAUCCAUUCAAUAAGAUAAAGUUUCACUUGCUUUUCAGACAAACAGUUAUUCUAGACCACAUGUUACAUGGCAUUGGCUUGCAACUCAUUUAUAGUCGUCUUCUUUGGGAAAAUGACCUUUGAGGGUAAUAAAGUAUUCGUCUUGUAUUCAUUAGGUCCCUUAUCUUUUUUUUGUCUUUAUUAUACCAUUGAACUUAUAAUCCCUGUUCACCAAAACCCUUGAUACCGGUUGUUGUAGGUUACUACUUAUGUGGAUAUUACGUGUCAUUAUGUGCCAUAAACUGGGCUUAUUAAUUGCAAAGUUACAGUACUGCAUCGUUCUUGCCCGUUCUUGCCCUAGAUCGACAUGUCUUCUUCUUCUUCUUCUAUUUCUUCCAAACGAAAUUUUGAAUUUCAACCUGAAAACCCUUGUUACUGUGGGUUGCCAUCUCGUGUACGAACUUCACGAACUAAGGACAAUCCAGGAAAAAAAUUCAGAUUGUGCCCAAACUCCAUGGUAAAGCAAUUGUUUUUUACUUUUCGUUUAAUCUUCUUUCUUUAACCAAUUUGUUACUUUUUUCAAGAAUGAAGGACCAAAAUGCAAGUUCUGGGAAUGGUUGGAGCCUGAAACCCCUGAAAAUGAAGUCAAUUCUGGGAAGGACAAAAAAGAACCGUGCAAUUUAACCCUCAAAGUUUCUAUAUUGGAAAACGAGAUCAGCAUAUGUAAGAUGAAGAUGGAACAAGAAAAUUUGGUUGUUAGACAAGAGUUUGAAAAACUCAAAUGGAAGCUAUUUACUCAUAAAGUUGUGAUGAUUGUGUUGUUUCUGUUGUUUGUGUUUAAGAAGUAGUUUAGCCCUUAAUUUAACCCUUAGUUUAGCUGUAUUCAAAGACUAAAUGUAAUCCUUAAUGUUGUAAUUUGUUUGAUGUAUUAUGACUAAAUCUUUUUGAUUAAUGAUAGUUUGAUGUUUUGAGUGCUUUCCAAGAAGUAUUAAUUUGUUUAAAAGGUUAAUGAAUUGGACAUGAUGCAUGGGUAAAAUGGUCCAGAUUAAAUUUGGCAGUGAAUUGUUAUUGUGUUGAUGUGAUGCAUGGGUAAAAUGGUCCAGAUUAAAUUUGGCAGUGAAUUGUUAUUGUGUUGAUGUGAUCCAAGGGUAAAAUGGUCCAGAUUAAAUUUGGCAGUCAAUUGUUAUUGUGUUGAUGUGAUCCAAGGGUAAAAUGGUCCAGAUUAACCACAUUGGAUACAUCAAACAUUUCUUAAUGUAUUAAGACCAAAUCUUGGCAUUAAUCAAUUGUUAAUGUCUUGAUGUGAUCCAAGGGUAAAAUGGUCCAUAUUAAAUUUGGCAGUAAUCAAUUGUCAAUGUGUUGAUGUGAUCCAAGGGUAAUAUGGUCCAGAUUAACAACAACAACAACACCAAACUUUGCUUAAUGUAGUAAUACUAAAUUUACUUGAUUUAUGAUAGAUAAUAUAAGAUUAAACAAUCUAUAUGCAAAUAACCGUACACCAAAGCAUAUAGAUAAAAGACAAAGUUGUAAUAUUCCAUCAGCAUGUGCACUAUUACAAAAGCUGUGCCCACAGUUGUCCUAAUAUGUCAAAAGAUGUGCCAUGUGCCAUGAUUCUUAAAUUUUUCCCAAUUACAUAUUUAUAAGACUAAAAGUUUGUCUUUCCAAAUAAAAUCAUUCCAACACCAUUGGGUUGUGUCCAGUGCUUCCUUCUUUCUUCAAAACCUUCCUUCUCAACCCUAUCUUGGUAAUUCUUUCUGAGUAUUUUCGUAUCCUCUGUCUAGUUGCAACUGGUUGAGCAGGGACAUCAACAUCUGGAUGUGGAUCAUCUACUUGAACUGGAUCCACUGGAGGAGCUGGUACAUCAACUGGAUCCAUUGGAUCUGCUUGAACUGGUUCAACAUGUGGAGCUGGUACUUGAAGUGGAUCCACUGGAUCUUCUUGAACUGGUUCAACAUGUGGAGCUGGUACUUGAAUUGGAUCUACUGGAUCUGCUUGAACUGGAUCAACCUGUGGAGCUGGUACUUGAACUGGAUCCACUGGAUCUGCUUGAACUGGAUCAACCUGUGGAGCUGGUACUUGAACUGGAUCCACUGGAUCUGCUUGAACUGGAUCCACUUGAACUGGUUCCACUUUACCUGCUAUACAAAUAUGUAGCUAAUGAGUUGGAUGUUCCAUUUAAAUUAUAUUGUUUUAAUAGCAUACCUUUCUCUUUUUUACAUUUUUUAGGUUUCUUGUUUUUUGGCCUUGAAGUGGAUGCUACAUCUGCUGGUCUAGUAGGACAUGUUGAUCUAUUGUGGCCCCUUUCUCUACAAAUAGUGCAUCUAUUAACUGAACCUGCUUUUGAGAUAGUAUGCCUUGUUUUCCCCUUGCUUUCCAUCUCAGAUUGAUCUUUUUUCCUUUUAAGGGUUGGCCUUCCUGGUAACCUUCUUUUUUGAGGAGGCAAUGGCUUCAUGUAGGGAGCUUCAGGCCACAUGGAACUACCAUUAAGUGGGUUAAUGGUAUGGUUGUAACAAGUCAAGAACAUGGCUGUAUGGAACCAUGGUGCAACAUAAUCCUCUGCAUUCCUGUUAAGGUAUGAAAUGGCUGCCACUGCAUGCACACAUGGGAUACCUGAUACUUGCCAAGAUCUACAUCCACAUGUGUUGUUGUUAAGGUCCACAGCAUAUCCAUCAUUUCCAAUCCUAACUUCAUAUUGUUGUAUCCCAGAUGGUAUAACACCCCAAAAUCUGCCCAAAAAAAUAAGAAGUUCUAUUAAUCUUAUAUAUGAGACAUAUAAUAUUAAUAUAAUAGAAGUUAUAUCAUACCUUUGCUGUUUCUUUAGCUUUGAUAUCUUCAACCUUAUAGAUGGACAUAUUUUUAAAUUCCCCCAACUUUGUCCCUCUUGCAACAUUUUAUACAUCCUCUCCAUUGCAUAAAUCCUUAUCUCUUCCAACAUGGUGAUGAGUGGCCUUUUCCUAGCAAGAUCAAUAAUAGAGUUGAAACUUUCUGAUAUGCCAUUCUCAUAAGCAUCACAAGCCCUGUCCACUUCAAAGAAUGCCCUGCACCAACUUUUAGGGUCCCUUUCCAUGAGGUGUUCAUAAGCCAAAGGGUCAAUUUUUUUUAUGGAAUUCAUUUCUGCCUCAAAUUUUGGUUGAGUAGUACUAGCAGCUGCUGCCCAAAACAACUUCCUAUAUUGUUCACCUUUGAAUCUUUUCUUGAAGUUAGCAUAGAUGUGCCUAGCACAUUGUCUAUGCUCUGCUGCUGGAACCCUUUCUUUGACAGCCUCUAUUAAUCCCUGAAAGAAAGCAUGAAAUAGAUGACAUAACAAAAACAUUCAACUUAAACAAAACAAAACAGAAAUAUACCUUGUGUUGGUCUGAUAUGAGGGUCAAUCCAUGACCAAUUCCCAUUUCAAUGUCAUCCAGAAGGAGGUCAAGAAACCACUUCCAUGUUUCCUUAUUUUCAACUUCCACCACAGCCCAUGCAAUAGGGAAGAUGUGGUUGUUUGCAUCCCUACCCAUAGCUGCUAACAGUUGGCCUCUACAUAUACCCUUUAAAAAACAACCAUCUACCCCUAUUACCCUCCUACAUGCUGCAAUCCAACCAUCCUUCACACCCUUAAAACAAACAUACAUUUUAGAAAAGUAGGUUGUGGAAUCAGGCAUGACAUUCACAUCUAUCUUUACUGUUGAACCAGGAUUUGUCCUCAUUAUUUCUUCUCCAUAACUCCAUACUUUACCAUAAUGUUCUAUCAAACUACCCUCUAUCUCAUCCAAAGCAUAUCUCCUAGCAUUUCUACAUUGAGUGACACUAACAAUCAAGUUAAACUUUGUACUCACUUUGGCCUUCAUUUUCCUUAUGCUCAUUUUAGGGUUCUUCACAAGUUGAUUCUUAAAAUGCAUUCCAAUCCAUUUAUAUGUUACAAUGGAACCAAGUUUGAAGACUCUUGAACAGUUAUGUUCAUCAACUAAUGACUUAAUUUGGAAAGACCUUUCACUGCUCAUCCAGGAAGCCCACAGUCUAAAAGGACAAGAGGGGUUCUUGUUCUCUUUACAACAUCUCACUAAUAACCUCUGACUAUCAUUUUUCUCAAAAUAAAGGUUGUACCCAUUCUUCACUGCAUAGUUAGUCAAACAAUUUUUCAAUUCCAUGGGGUUAGAGAAUCUCAUACCUAGAAUUGGCACCAUUUUGUCCCAUUUCUGGUUCUCAUUAUGGAUAGGGUACACUGGUUUGUCAUCUCCAUUCUUGGUUUCAACCUCAUCAGUUUCAGCCUCAUCAUCUAUAUCCUUACACAUACCUGACACCCGAUGUAAGAAUUCAUCACCAAUAGUCUUGUCAAGAGAAGGAAUGUAAUCAUCUGCUUCAUGCUCAUAUGGAACAUCAUCAGAAAGUUGUGAAUCUAUAUCAUCAUCCAGGUCUUCCUCAGAAUAAUGCCCUUCAUCAUCUUCCAUUACUUCCAUAUCAGCCCAAUCAAGUACAGGUUCAUUUUCGUGGUCUAUAUACACAUUCAUUCUUAGACCGGCUUCAUCACUAUAACCCGUUUCAAUAAACUCAAAGUAGUCAGCAUCAUUCCUAAUUCUCCUAAUACCCUCUGCCAAUGGUUCAUUUCUAGUGCAAUAAUAUACAUUAUCACAACUCCCUUCAAUCAACUUUGCAAUGAACAAGUUAAAGUCUUUGAAAUCCAUUGCACCAAAAUCGACAUCACGGAUUGAAACAACAACAGCGUUCAAGUACACUAAUGGUUUUCGUGCGAAUAAACCAUUAUAAUGUAUAUAAACUGUUAAAUACUUACUUUGUUUGGAAUCGGAGGCCAUCUUCUUCACUAUAACACUCGCAUUCACCAGUUCUCUUCAAUUUCCUAACCGUAUGCUUCGAUUGAACUUUUUCUUCCCUCAAUUAAAACGAACCCUAACUGUAGGGUGAAAGAGAAACGGUAAUUAAAUGUGUUCUAAUUCCACGUAAUAAGACAUGUCAUCUCUAAUUAAAUGUGGUAACCGGUAAAACAGGUGAUAACCGGUAUCAAGGGUUUUGGUGAACAUGGAUUAUAAGUUCAAUGGUAUAAUAAAGACAAAAAAAAGAUAAGGGACCUAAUGAAUACAUGACGAAUACUUUAUUACCCUCAAAGGUCAUUUUCCCCGUCUUCUUUACAUGAUGGCAAAUUCUUGUUUGAUAAAAAUUUCAUGGAUAAAAACCUUAUUUUCCAAGUGUACAACUUAUACCAAUAUUAUAUUUGUCCUGUGUAAUACACUAUAUAACAUUCCACAUAGAUAUAUUGGCUUCCACAAUAUUUGGGGAAAUACAUUUGGAAUUAUAGAACACCAUUAAAUAGGCCAAAUUGCCAAAACCAUAUUGCAUUUCAACCGUCAAUUUUGUUAAAAUAUAGACAAAAUUGAAAAUCAUAAUUGAGUUUGAAAAUGACCAUUUUCCAAUAUUUGAUCAUUUCGGCAUUUUCUUAGUAUGACUGUCAUUUUGUUUCAUUUAUGUACAGAAAUUGGUCAUUUUGAUCAUCCUUUUCUAUCCAAAUUAUAAAAUCCAAAACAUAUUUAUUGUUAUUUUGCUAUUGCAAUUUUAGAAACACUCGGACUACAACCAUUUAAUUGCGUGUUGUUAUUGUAAUUUUAGAAACACAUGUACUACAACCAUUUAAUUGUAUGAUGGGGUAUGGAGCCUUUGUACUAAUAUUUUUUUAACCGUGUUCUAGUUUCAAUAAAAAGUAUUAUCAAAGCCAGUAAGAUAUAAUCUCAUAGAAAGUGGUCGCUGUUAUAUUAUGAUAUUCUGGUCAAAACAAAAUAUUUAUGUUUUUUUAGUAGUCAAAGUAUAACUGUUACAAACUUACAAUUAAUAAUAUCAACUUAUCAUGCAAAUGUUCAACAAAAAAACUUAGUCCUUGUUUGCAAAACGAGCUUUUAGCUAAUGGGGGAAGCUUUAGCUUUUAUUUAAGUUGAUGUUUUCAACAAAAAUAGUUAACUUUUAAAACUGUAAAAGUUACAUAAAACUAAAAGUAAAAGCUCCCAAAAAUUAUUUGAAAUAGUUUUUGGAUUAAAACGCUUUUUGUUUAGAAUUUAAACUAAAAGUUCAUAUUGUGAUCAAUACAUUUUUUUUAAAGCUAAAAGCUUUUCACAACUAUAGUGUUUAGCUUUUGAAUUGGCCAAGGUAAUAUGGUCAUAAGUCACAACUGCGCGCCUUCAAACAUGCCUUUAAUUUCAUGUCCGACAGCCAUUGAACAAUAUUUACAUGAUUGUUUGAUUAUAAAUACAUUUUUGGUAAAUUUAAUUAAAAUAUGUAUAUGAUAAAAGAUCUAAUGAGUAAUGACCACUUAAUAUGUAUUUUCAUCUAUUUUUCCAAAUGAAAGUAACACUUUGAACGUGCAAUGUUUUAGCUUUUCCCUAGCAGAGAAAAAGAGUGAAUACACAAUGCCCUUGUACACUGCUCCUUAUGGUAAUAUUGCUUUCUCGAUAAAAAAGAGUAUUUAACCUUAUUAUACUUCUAGUUUAUUAGACAAAUUAAUCAAAGUAGUUACUUUAUUAGGGAAGAAACCAUUAGAGUAUCUUAAAACGAAUAGUUGGAGUAUUUUCAAUCUUUAUUUUGUAAGGAGUUGUUACAUUGCUUCGUAGUCACUACUCAUCAUAAUAUCAAAGGAAAAAAAGAUGAUUAAAAUCGAUACAAUGUCCAGCACGAUCUACCAUAGAAAUAGAACCAUAAAUGCAAUAAAUAUAACCAUAUGUAUGAGGUUUGAACGACCCAGUAGGUCGAUAAGUAUAUGGUAUAGUGUUUGUGUACUCCCAUUAAUGGUCUUGAUUAUCAUAUGUUUUUGCAAAGGAUCAAUGGGACAAAACUGAAAAGUAAUGUCUAUAUCUAUCAUUAAUUCUUACAAGCCAUGCAAUAUUUACCUUGGUCAAUUUCCACUGAAAUAAACUAAAAAGACUUACAAUAAUGCAUUUGUACAUUCAAGCCUUAAAAAAUAUUCGAUCUUCAGGUUACAAUAUCGAUCUCUUUGUUUUGUCGCAUCCUUCGGUGCAAUGAAACUAAACAAAAAAUGUCUAUAUCCACAAUUUUUACUAUGUUUGAAAUUUACCCAAAGAAAAUGACAAAUCACAUUUUUUUUGAACAAAUCAAAACCAAAGCAACCAUCUCCACAAUUUCACAGCAACACGACAGGAGAAGAAAAUGUGCUCCAUAUCUUCAUCAAAUUGUCGACAAAAGAGACAUAGUCUCGAGUUCAAAGUAAUACCUCUCUUCAAUUAAUUGUUAUAAGUUGGAAUUUAUUUUUGAACAAUCUCCAAACAAAGCAGUUGAUCUUGAAAGGAAUCCAGUUAACCCAAUGAAACCAUUCAACAUUAUUGGUAGAUGAACCAACAAUGAGACUCCUAAUCGCCUUCACAGAAAAAGAAUUACUGCCAUCACCAACACAUGGUCACAUGUCAAGACCAUUAUUUUACAAACUAAGUAAAUCAGAAAAUUGCCUAGACUAAUUCCACGGCCACCAAGAGCUAGAAUUAGACAUCACAACAACUCUGUCUAACACCAGACAAUUUUUAUUAGAUUCCACUACACACAAGUUGAGAAAAAUAUCCUUUAAAGUUGUAUCUCCACACCAUACAUCCUUCCAACAAAAUGUUUUAUCCCCCAUGCCUACACAUUUUUUAAAAAGAUCCUUAAGAACAAUUCCUUUAUCGCCAAAGUCAACAUCAAUUUGCAAGAUCUCAAGCCAAACUCCUUUUAGAGAUUUCUUUGCUAAAGGUUUUCCAUCAAUAAGCUUUAGAUUAUGAAGAUAUUUUAUCAGUGUUCUAAAUAGCGUAAGACGUGACUUGGCGUCAAUGUUAAGUCUCAAGCUUUUUCAAUCCGUUUGUAAGGCAUGACUUAAGGUGAAAAAUAUGUAUAUAAUUAAUAGUUUUAUAUAUAUUUUCUACUAUUAUUCAUUUUUAUACACAUAUACGACUUAAGACGGCAUUUCGUUAAAGCUUGGCGGCAAGUACAAGUCUUGCAGCCAUGGCACGCCAUGAUGAGCUUUUUAGAACAUUGGAUUUUAUACACGAAAAUCAAAUUGUAUCGAACCUAUUCUUGAGCCGCCACCACCAUUUAGCAAGGAGCGCUAAAUUAGCAGAAUCAAGGCAACCAACACCAAUACCACCUUUCUCUUUAGGUUGAAUAACAACAUCCCAAGACACCUAAUGUUUUUUUUUCUUAAGAUCAUCACUACCCCAAAGGAACCUCCUUCUAAUACUCUCAAGAAGAUGAAUAACUUUCUUAGGGGCCCAAAAUAACGGAAAAUAAUAAAAGAGGUAAACUAAUUAAGACCGACUUCACAAGAGUAAGACGACCGCCAAAAGACAAGGACCUCGCUUUCCAUUUAGAAAGUCUAGCUUUAAAUUUCUCAAUAACUGGCGGCAAAUUUUUAGCAAGCCUCCUAUUAGCACCCACUGGCAGCCCAAGGUAGGUAAAAGGGAAGGAAGUGGGUUCACACUUCAAAAUGCUGGUAAGCCAUUACACCUCCAAGCUAUCCACAUCAACACCAUAUACCUUACUCUUAUUUGUGUUCACAUUCAAGACCAAAGCAAGAAAGAAACAAUGACGAAUACGAUUGAGAUUGAUAAAGUUUAAUUCUGACCCUUCACCAAUGAAAAUGACAUCAUCAGCAUACAUUAGGUGUGAAAGAGAGAAACAACCAUUUGGAAAAGAGACACCCCUAAAAUGAUGAAGAUCACACGUCGCCUCCAUAGAAACAUGAAGCCCCUCCAUAGCUAUAAUGAAAAGAAAAUGGGACAAAGGAUCUCCUUGUCUAACACCUCUCAUGACAUCGAACUCCUUUGUAGGGGAUAUUCAUUAAAACGGAUGUUUUGCUAGAGCAAAUACAACCCGAAAUCCAUCUUCUCCAUUUCCAAUUGAAUCCCAUUUGCCCCAUAAUCGAAUCAAGGAAACCCCAACUUAAGGAAUCAAAAGCUAUGUCGAAAUCUACUUUGAAAAUAAGAGUUUUUUCUUCACCUUUUUAGACCAAGAACAAAUCUCAUUAAGCAGUAGGGACCGUCCAAAAUACUUCUCCCUCUCACAUAUGUCGAUUGUUCCGGGCUAAUAGUUUUGGUAAUGACUCUUUUGGGUCGAUUGGCAAGGACUUUAUAGAGCACUUUGUAGAGACACCCGACAAGAUUCUCCGGUCUGUAAUCUUUCAAAUAAAGAGGGUCCUUUGAUUUUGGAAUAAGAGAAAUAAAAGAUGAGUUGCAACCUCUAACUAAGAUACCAGAGUCACCAAAGUCACGAACAAACAAAAUCACAUAAUCUUUAAUCAACCCCCAAUAAAAUUUCAAAAUUUUGAAGGUAAACUCGUUCGGGCCAAGAGCCUUUUCAUUUCCACAACACCGAACAACCUCUUUAAUUUCAUCUUCAGGCAAAGGCUUUGUGAAAACAACCCUAUCAGAAUCAUCAAUCUUCCUGAACCUGUUACUUAUUAACUUAGGUCGAUUAUACAAUGGUUCGCUGAAUAUUUUUGAGAAAAAGUUCUACGCUUCAUCUUUUAUCUUAAGCAUAUCAUUUAUCCAAAACCCAUCAAUAACAAGACCAUUGAUAUGAUUUUCCCUUAAAUUAUUAUUCAGCCUUGAGCUCCAAAUCAUCAAUCUUCAAGAGUAAACAAUUAAGUUCCUCCAAUUCUUUCCUAUUGGAGUCAGCUCUCCAAAUUUUAAUAUCAUUCUUCACAUAAAUUAAUUUUUUUCCAGUCUCCUAUCUGAAGUUUAUGAAGGCAAGCAAUUCAUCCAAGCUUUCUUCACCACCUCAUCAAGUCCUUCCAAAAAGCACCACGAGUUGAAGAAUCCAAAGGGACAAGGUCCAAAAUCAUGAACUUCACUCAAAAGCAUAACCGGGGAAUGAUCUGAAAACCUCUUAGGAAGAAUUGUGGCUGAAAAUAAGCCCCAUUUGUUCAUAAAACCUUCACAUGCAAGGAACCGAUCAAUUUUGUUGAGACUGAUGGGUUUAGAGCAAUACAUCAUUCCUAUGGGGUACAUGCAAACCCUAAUAGCUUCUGGAUCUAAUUUGUCUAAUGAACAUGCAAUUGAAUGUCCAAUACUAUAAACCCUAGAUCUAUCAUAUAAGAACUAAAAUAAGGGUUUAGUAAUUACCUUUGAUUGUUAUAUAGCAAUAACAAUCUAAUCCUUGGCUUUGGAAAGCUUAGUGCCUCAAGUGUUGCACCUCUAAUGGAGUCACAAAAACCACUAAGCAACAAGAUGAAGAAGAGAAGAGAAAGGAGGCUCCAAAACGUCUAGGAAACCCUAAGGAUUCAAUCACCACGUUUUUUGGGGCUUCGUGGCUCCUUAAAUAGGUAGGCAAUUAGGGUUAUCUAACAAGGAAACCCUAAUUUGACUGCUUAAGCCCUAAGCAGCCCAUGGACCUCUUCUGGAACAUGCCUUGGACGAUUUCUAAUGGGCUUCUCCAUAAAAUUCGUCCAACCUAUUAUUCCAAGGUGAUCCAUAGCCCAAUUGCAAUUAUCUUAUAAUUACAAUUCCAGCCCCCUAAGUUCAAUUAAUCUCUUUUAGCCACAAAAUUAAUUCUUGACUAAUAUUAAUUAAACAAUAUGAUUUCUCCUUUAAUAUAUUAUUCUCAUAAUAUAUUAAUAAAUCAAAAUUAAACAUUUCUCUCCUUAAUUCAUCCUACAAGUUGCUAUGGUUAAGGCAACCCAAAAGGACCAUGCUCAUAAUCGGGUCAUGUACAUACCAAAAUAGUUAUGGACCUAGACACUAAUCCAACAGUCUCCCACUUGGAUAAGUCUAAUAACUAUUUUUCAUAACUUCAGAACUUGAUCAGCAAUCGUAGCUUUCAUAAGCCGCUAUCAACUCUGAUCUUAUCAGAUAUGCGUGUCCUUUAGAUAAGGGAUUAUAUAUUCCUCCAUUCUAGAUAUCGUAUAGACAUGAGACAUUAAUUUUAAUCAUUCUCUCUAUACUGUUUCCCGACUUCCGAUUUAUGACGACUGGAAACAGACUAUAAUUGAACACAUCAAUUUAGUCCCGGCUUGGCCAAGCGCUUAGGUGCCAUCACUAAAUCAUUAAGGGGCCCAAAGAUAUCACUUUUANCACCACAUUGGGUAAAAGGAAUGGAUAAAAUUUGACUUAAAUGCUUGCUUGCACCUACUAAUCGAAUCACACACAACAAUAAGUUUUAUAACAUCAAGUUACUGGUGCGUUUAUUUAUCAUCAAUGUGCAACCGACCAGCAAAUAACAACUCACACGUCUCAUUUUCAAGAAUAUACAAUGUUAUCGUCUCACUAAUCACCCGUGAUAAAUCCAUGAAGUGAUUCAAGUGAGCGUGAGUUUAAUCCAAUACUUUAAUCUUAUCAAAGCACUCAUGAACUCUGCAGCAAACUUGUUCUAUGUCUAAACACUUUAGACAAUCUACAUACAUAUUCACGACAGUCUUCCUUCAUACCUACUUACAACGUAUAACCGACUAUGGAGGUUCGAAUAACCCAGUUAUUCUAGAAGUCAAAACAUGCAAAAUGAAACGCAACGAUAAUACUUAAUCCUAUAUGGCCCCAAAACUUUUGAGCGUAAAUAAAACACUUUUAUUAAAACACCAUAUUGACUACUCAUUACUCAUUGUUUAAUGUUUCGGAUAAUCAACUUAUUACUUGAAUUACAACAAUAGUUGUCCCAUGCUCCGAGCAUGCACACUAUGUUACCUAUGAUCCUUACUUUGUGAAAUAGAUCAAUAGAAAACCUUUCCAAUGAAACUCAUUUCACAAUUCCCAAUCCUCAUCAUUAGUGUAAGAAUACCAAAUUCUUGCCACUUUUGGAAUAUGUCAGAUUCUAACAUUUUAUGCGACGAUCCUUUCGCAAUGUCAUAGCACAAAAGUCACCAAGACUUGGCUAAUGAAAUUCCAAGGUAUUCUAUCGGAUAUGUUACAAGACAAUUCCAUAGACGCGAAGUCUCACAUUCAAAGUACAUUCCUUUGAACAUCCUUCUUGCAUAAAAGUCUCUAAUCUAGCCAUAGACUCUCAAUAUCCAACUCCCAAUAUGGAAACAUUUCCAUAUUUGCCAUAUGACAACUCAUUCUAAAUAGAAUCUUAUUUAUUCAAAAUAAUGUCAACAUGGUCCAUCCAAUACUAUACUUCCAACUACUCACAAGCAACAAAUCCUUGGCGAACCUUAGAUCGUCCUUUGAUAGUUGUUUAAUUAUUUUAGCCAAAACCGUUCUAGUCCUUUUUCCCUCUUAAUGCGCUAAGCAUUUGGAAAAUUUUAGAAUGAUCAAACAUUAUAGCAUAUGCAAUCGAUCCUAUACCUGAAGCGUAUGGAACACGAUUCAUAAUGUCUCACACGAAGACAUGAUACUUUACCAGUCUUCUGCUAUAAUAUUUCUAAUUGCCUUGUUCUCACAAUUUUGAUUAUGAAAAGGGAUGUCGUAAUCGUAACCAAAUUUUGAGAAUGCAAUUAUCCGUUCCAUAUAUAGAAUUUCCUCAUGUUGAACCGUUCCAGCACAACAUUCUUAUAUAUUUGACUAAAUUUGAUUAAAAUUCUACAAUCUAAGCCUCUAGAUUUGAAAUGAAGUAUAAAAUUCUCUCCCUUAAUUAUAGCAAAACAACUUUUCAACCCCUGCAACUUGGCAAAGUGAAUCUUCGUUUUCCUAUAAUUAAUAUUGCUAACUUGCAAUACUUGAAAUAAUAAUCAUGCUCCCACUAACGCGAUGAUUAUUACUAUACAAGCAUAACACUUAUGCUCCCACUAGCUUUGACAUAUAUUCAGAAAACAUUUGAACUUCCAGAAAACAAUGUUUAUCGAAUUCCUUAAGUUCAUAUUUCUAAAUACCUGAUGCUUUGAGAAUCAUUUAUCACGCUUCUUAAACUCAUACACCUUUACUUAAAUAGCUUAUAUGUGCGUCUAAACAAUUCUAGAACUCAAGUUACUAAGUCCCAAAAUAUUCAGACUAAUUGCCAAAUCUCACAAUUCGAGCUAUGAAAAGGGAUGCCGUAAUCAUAAUCGAAUUUGAGAAUACAAUUUUCACAAUUUCAAUCUUCUUAAAAUCUCUCUUAGUGAAAGCAUUUCCUUACAAUCAUUUUCAUGAAGAAUGGAAACCUUAUGACACUUAGAUUUUAUGGUGUAUGUGUUCCUAUCCAUUUGAAUUUGCCAAAACCAAAGUUUGCGACAAAUCCAAACUCAUAUGGACCGAACGUGCUCAAUCUCGAUUUCUUGCCUCACGGUAACAUGAAUGCCCACCAUGUCUUCCAAGCAACUCACCCUUUCAUAUUCAUUGUACUUUCCAUUGAUCAAGGUGCUUUAUCUUUAUGUUUUCAAAUGAGAACUCAUAGAAUUCACAUGCAUAAUUAACUCAAUUGGAAUGGCACAUAAAAAGAGUAUGUCAUCCACGAUAGGCUUUAAACCUCAAGUCGUGUGCUUGUGAUGAUCAACUAGGUUUAACUCUUGAUUUGUUCUUGAAACCUUUCAAGACCAUUAAGACUCCCACUGACUCCUUGACAUAUAAGAUUCUCUUGUUAAGAAACAUUCCUUGACAAAACAAAAAUUCAAGAGUUAGUGUAGUUUUAUCAAGACUAUCACUUCACAUAAUUGGUUCUAGUUGGUCUUUGUCUUAUCCAAGACAUCACAGCUUACCAAUCUCAAAUGUGCAGGAAUAAUAAGACCUUUUCUAAUUCCACAUUUGUUGAGUGUUAUAAACCUACUAAAGGCGUGCCACUCAAUUCACAAUCUUGGAGUAUAACUCUAAGACUUGAUAUUGGAAUGAAGUAUGAUUGACUUCUUAACCAUUUCCAUAAUUCUCGAUUCCUCUUCUUAGACAUACAAAUACACUAAGACUUACUUAGAGGAUCAAUUGAGAUACGGUUCUUAAUCAUUAAGACUUAUCAUAAAACACAAUAAAAGGUACUCUCCCUUCUUCUUAGAAUGGAGAAACUUUUAUCUUUCUGCCUACUUGAUUCUUCUUUAUUCGUUUUGCUAUUCAUUGAAACCUUUUCAAUCAACUCAGAAUUACACUUAGUCUUAUAAGUAUAAUCAUAUUUACUAAACUUUAGUAAAUCAUGAAGAAUAUCUUUAUCACUCUUGUGGUGGACUUGAUUAGCUCACAACCAAGUGUACCUGAUCCUUAGCCCUUCACUUGACUCUUUGUCAAGGAAUUAGUCUAAUUUCCAAAAUAUGAAGUUUUUUCAUUCAUCACGCAAUGCAUGUUGCAUGAUUCCAAGUUUUUGUCCAAUUGAAACUUGGGCGAUGAGAAACUCUUCUUAUUUGGUUAAUUCUCGACAUUUCCACAAAUAACAUAAUUAAGAAUCAAAUCCAUUAUUGCUAAUAGUAGAAACAUUCAAACAUCAAUUUUUCAUACAUGCCAUUGCAAGGAUAAAUAAAUAUGACAAAAUCAAAUUUUAUUUUAUUGCGGAAAAACUUUGUCCUUACAAUGCAAUUCAAAUGAAAAACUAUACUAUUACAUAUUUCUUAUCAAUCUACCCUAACUCUAAAUUAGCAGCUCAAAAAUCCGAUCUUCAAGCAAUGCGAUCGAAAUCCAUUUCUUCACAAUCAGAUUCAGCUUACUUCUUCCCUUAAGCUUCCUCUCUUUUCUUCGAUUCUACAAAACAUCAAAAUGUAAUCUUAUCACAUCAUGUAUUGAAAAUCAAAGAAUAGGAACUUAUAGAGUUAGUUAUUGGAUUUUACCUGAAGUAGAGCCAUACGUCUUGACUCUCCCAUCUCUUAGAUCUCUUAGGUAGUUUGGGCAGCUUCGUCUCCAAUGCCCCUUCUCUUGGCAAUAAAAGCAAAUGGACUCUUUUGGCACAUCACAUGGGACAAUCUCAUACUUAGUCCUUUCUAGACUUCCAAUGUAUCCAGUGUCCAUUGAAGUUUGGGAGUUUGAUUCACCCGACAAAUUUGCUUGACCAGCACGCCAAAUGAUUGUUGAUUCAGCAGCUAUAAGCAAAUAGGUGAAAUCAAUGAGGGUCACGUCUUGGUCCAUCAUAUAGUACUCUCUAACGAACUUACUAUAUGAUUCAGGAAGCGACUGAAGAACCCAAUCAAUAGCCAACAUCUCUUAGAUAUCGACAUCCAUCAUCCGUAACCUAUCAAUGUGUGACUUCAUCUUUAAGAUGUGUGCACACACAUGUUUCCCAUCUUCGUGUUUACUUGUCAAAAGGGCUUGAGUGAGCUUAAACUUUUUAAGCCUUUGAACUUGUGAGUCAGGGAGAAUAAUUGGAGGAGGUGGAGGAAGUGAAGCAUGAUCUCUAGUUUCUCGAUCAUAUCGUGAAAAAUCAUCUUCAUUUGGAAAGCUUGUUCCAUGGGAUUUGGGAAGACCAUUGUUAGAUUCAAACAUCUACAAAACGGGAGAAAUUCAAGUCAAGUUGAUUAGAAUCCUUGAUGUAACACCCAAAUGAAACAUAAAGGCUAGGAUCCAACAUAAUACUCUACAACCUAGAAGAGGGAUGUCGUAAUCUAGUUGCAGAAUAUUUGAAGGUAGGUAAAUGACGAUUUACCAAUUUCCAUCAUGAAAAACGAAAGAGAAAAUUGAAGUUUUAAAUGAAUUGAAACUCCUAGAUCUUUUGAGAUUCAUUGAACUUUUCAAUGGCAUGUUUAAUAUCGAUUAUUCCCUUCAAGUUUGUGACUGGGAUGCCGAGGAUCACAAGUAAGGUGUGAAUAACCGUGCGAAUCACGUGGUGCACUCAAUGCUACUAUCACCUAAUCAAUGUGCUGGUUAGCCACACACGCUCCAUUGAUCUAUGAUAAACAUCGAGCCACCCUUCUUUACCAAUGCCAAACCCAAAUUAGUGUGCCGGUUAACCACACACGCUCCACUAACAUCUCGGCAAGGGUACAAAGUGUCAUUCCAUUGAUUAACAUACAAUUUCACAUUUUGCCUAAAGUAACUAUGAUUUGAAAAUUUGAAAAACAUUUAGUUACUUUGUACUUCAUUAUACUUAUAAUGGAAGGUUUUUGUCCUAUCCUACCCGUUCGGCUAACGACCCUCCACCAGUUAAGAGUGCGGUGGGUAAGAGUGGAUACCCAUUCAAUCGCCAUUUUAUAGGCAAUUUCAUUAAACACCCCUUAUACACCAGCUUCGUGAAUGAGGCCUACUAACGAUAANNNNNNNNNNNNNNNNNNNNNNNNNNNNNNNNNNNNNNNNNNNNNNNNNNNNNNNNNNNNNNNNNNNNNNNNNNNNNNNNNNNNNNNNNNNNNNNNNNNNNNNNNNNNNNNNNNNNNNNNNNNNNNNNNNNNNNNNNNNNNNNNNNNNNNNNNNNNNNNNNNNNNNNNNNNNNNNNNNNNNNNNNNNNNNNNNNNNNNNNNNNNNNNNNNNNNNNNNNNNNNNNNNNNNNNNNNNNNNNNNNNNNNNNNNNNNNNNNNNNNNNNNNNNNNNNNNNNNNNNNNNNNNNNNNNNNNNNNNNNNNNNNNNNNNNNNNNNNNNNNNNNNNNNNNNNNNNNNNNNNNNNNNNNNNNNNNNNNNNNNNNNNNNNNNNNNNNNNNNNNNNNNNNNNNNNNNNNNNNNNNNNNNNNNNNNNNNNNNNNNNNNNNNNNNNNNNNNNNNNNNNNNNNNNNNNNNNNNNNNNNNNNNNNNNNNNNNNNNNNNNNNNNNNNNNNNNNNNNNNNNNNNNNNNNNNNNNNNNNNNNNNNNNNNNNNNNNNNNNNNNNNNNNNNNNNNNNNNNNNNNNNNNNNNNNNNNNNNNNNNNNNNNNNNNNNNNNNNNNNNNNNNNNNNNNNNNNNNNNNNNNNNNNNNNNNNNNNNNNNNNNNNNNNNNNNNNNNNNNNNNNNNNNNNNNNNNNNNNNNNNNNNNNNNNNNNNNNNNNNNNNNNNNNNNNNNNNNNNNNNNNNNNNNNNNNNNNNNNNNNNNNNNNNNNNNNNNNNNNNNNNNNNNNNNNNNNNNNNNNNNNNNNNNNNNNNNNNNNNNNNNNNNNNNNNNNNNNNNNNNNNNNNNNNNAUAUAUAUAUCAAUUAAUAAAAAUAAAUAAACAUUAGUUCUCAUCUAGGUAUGUUUUAAUAAGAAUAGCAAAAAAAGUCUUAAAAUUAAUAAAUUAACACAUUGAUUAACAAAUUUCUUGAUACUUAUUUUUUGAAGAGCACAAAAUCGAUGAUACAAAAGCACAUGACGCUAAAACUCAAAAGGAAUACUAACUUCUCAUUCCUUGUAUUGUUUCCAUUUGCUUCCUUAGGCAACUUGCUAGGGGUGGGUCUCUUUUAAUCCUUUUAGUCGCUUCCAAAAGAUAAAAUAGUAACACAAGCAAGUGAAGCAAUGACCAAUUGCACAAAAAUUUAACUCAUAUUCACGUAUAGGUAUAUAUUAAUUAAAUUGUUUGGUAUUUACCAAAUACAAAUAUGUACCAACCAAAUUUGUUGGUAGCCAAAUUAGUUGGUACCAAGUAUACUUGGUACGGUACUGGUAGUUAAAUUCUUAUGCCAACUAUAGUUGGUACGGUACACGGUUUGGAGAAAAAAACUUGGUACCGUACCAAUUCAACCCCUAAGGAUAUCUAUUAUCAUAACAAAAAAUCUUAUUUUUAUUUGAAUAAAUCAAUUUAUGGUAAUUAUCCUAAGCAAAUUAAGGCAAAAAUCCCGAAAUUGUGUUGUUAGACUGAAUUCACGAGGUGAACACACUGUGUUCACGACAUGAGUUUGGUUUAAUUCGAAAUUCUGCUGACAGACUGAAUUCAUGAGGUGAACACACUGUGUUCACGACGUGAAUCAGGUCAGAUUCCAAAUUCACAAUUUUUUAGCUUUGAAAACAUAAUUUUGCAUCAAAUACAAUAGAAAAACACACUAGGCUCUGAUACCACUGAUGGGUUUAGAGCAAUACAUCAUUCCUAUGGUGUAAAUGCAAACCCUAAUAGCUUUUGGAUCUAGUUUGUGUAAUGAACACGAAAUUGAAUAUCCAAAGCUAUAAACCCUAGAUCUAUCAUAUAAGAACUGUAAUAAGGGCUUGGUAAUUACCUUUGAUUAUUAUAUAGCAAUAACAAUCAAAUCCUUGGUUUCGGAAAGCUUAGUGCCUCAAGUGUUGCACCUCUAAUGGAGUCACAAACACCACUAAGAAACAAGAUGAAGAAGAGAAGAGAAAGGGGGCUCCAAAACAUCCAGGAAACCCUAAGGAUUCAAUCACCACGUUUUUUGGGGCUUAGGGGCUCCUUAAAUAGGUAGGCAAUUAGGGUAUCUAACAAGGAAACCCUAAUUUGACUGCUUAAGCCCUAAGCAGCCCAUGGACCCCUUCUGGAACAUGCCUUGGACGAUUUCUAAUGGGCUUCCCCAUAGAAUUCGUCCAACCUAUUAUUACAAGGUGAUCCAUAGCCCAAUUGCAAUUAUCUUAUCAUUACAAUUUCAGUCCCCUAAGUUUAAUUAAUCUCUUUUAGCCACAAAAUUAAUUCUUGACUAAUAUGAAUUAAACAAUAUGAUUUCUCCUUUAAUAUAUUAUUCUCAUAAUAUAUUAAUAAAUCAAAAUUAAACCUUUCUCUCCUUAAUUCAUCCUACAAGUUGCUAUGGUGAAGGCAACCCAAAAGGACCAUGCUCAUAAUCAGGUCAAGUACAUACCAAAAUAGUUAUGGACUUAGACACUAAUCCAACAGAGACUUCACCAUCUUCACUAAUCCAAGUGAAUUUUCUACCCCCUAAUCUGAAUUCUAAUAACUUAGCAUCAUCAAUAGAAGAGUUGAAAGCUACUAUAGAGGAAUUACACCCCAAUUGUAGAAUCUUUCCUGCUUGAGUAUGAUCUCAUUGAAGUCACCCAUUAACAACCAACAGCCAGACAUAUAAUUAAUAAAGCCAAACAGGGAGCACAAAAGAAACGAUCUGGCGUCACCAUCCACAAGGGCAUACAUGUUAAUAAUAUAUGUGAUUCCAUUCAUUCCACUUCAAAAGCCCAUGAUCAGGAUAAAAAUGGAAUCAAGAAUGACAUUUACUUUUUGAAAACAAGAGGAUUCCGAAGACAGAAAAGACCACCUAACCUUCCUUGAGAGACCACUCUCUCACUGUCGAAAAUAGAACCAUCCUAGAAUUUCUUUAUAGGAAUAUCACACACAUCUUUGAUUUGAGUCUCUUGAACACUAAUGAAACUAUUUUGACGCGACAUCUUAAGAUCUAUAACCUAAUCCGCCUAAUAAACACCUCCCGCUCCUCUCAAAUUAACCUAUAAACAAUUCAUGUAAGACCCGUACAAACCAUUUCUCAUUCAAUUACAUAUCUUAAGGCCUGAAUCACACCAUCCAAGUUAAAACCAAUUUCCUUACCUGUAACGCCUUGUUCCGAAUUGCUUUCCUAAUUCGGGACUGUGGCCUGAGGAUAGAUUAUCAUUGUUGGUUUAGGUGUCUAAGUUCAUAACUAUUCUGGAAUGUACUUGACCCGAUUAGCAUGGUCCAUUUGGGUUGCACGGCAUCAUGCAUUUGGAUAGACCAAAAUGAGAGAAAUAAUACUUAAGGUUAUUAAUAUAUUAUAAGUUCUAAUAUAUUAAUAAUAUUAUUUAAUUAGUAUUGAUCAAGAAUUAAUUUUGUAUUAAUUAAGUGAUCAAAAGAAGACUAAUUAAAUAUAUGGGUUGAUUGUGUAAAUCACCCAAUACUUGUAUAGUGGGCUAAUACUCCAUGGAUUAUCAAGUUGGGCUAAAACUCAUAGGAUGCUCCAUGGUGUCUUUGAACCCAUGGAUCAUGGAAAUUAAUAGUCAUGUCAAUUAGGGUUUACUUGGUGUAACCCUAAUUAUGACACACUAUAUAGGCAACAUGUUGUAGACCAAAAUCGGCACUAGUGUGAGAACAAGAGGGCAUAGCCAAUUUUAGAAGUGUUCUAUUUCUCUCAAGGUUAUUCCAAAUGUAUUUGGUGCUGUGUGAGACAUUUGAGGCAUCACACUUGAGGUGCUAGGCUCACAAGGUUCUCAAGGAAUCCAAACAACUAAAGGUACGUAUUUCUUACUAUCUUUUAUGUUUAAAAGUUCCCUAUGUAUGCUAGAUAGGUUAUGAACCUUGGAAAAUCAAUUUUUCAUGUAUCAUAGUAAAACAUAGAUCCAAGGUUUCAAGGGUUGCAUGUACACCUUAGGAGUGUUAGAAUGCUCAUAACCCAACAGUGGUAUCAGAGCCUAGGCUUGUUUGCUUGAUAUUUGAUGCAAAACUGUGAAAAAAGCUAAAAAUCUUACUGUCUGGACAGUGGACUCGUCGAGUCCAUGGGGGGACUCGACAAGUCCAAGCACAAACUCAUCCUACUCGUCGAGUAGGUUCAUGCACUCGACGAGUAGGAGCCCCAGAAUGCAGUUUUUCGACUUUUGCUACUGGAAAUGGACUAGAAACAUUACCCUAAACUGUUUUGGCCUUAUAAAACUUCUUUUAGAUGGUGUAAUGGUUAUGCUAAUCCAUUUUCAAUAGCUAUUAUCAAAAUUUCAAGUUUUAUAUGGUUAAUUUUAUGAUUAUUGAAAUUAUUGAUAUGCAUGUUCAUGAACUUAUGAGUUUAGAAGAUCAUAGGAAUUAUUUGUAACUUGCUUGUUAGUUUAAUUCUUGAUCAUUAUGUGUUUUAAUGGAAUCCAUAAUUUGUCCUCAAGUUAUGGAUUACCAAAAGUCAUUCUUUUAAAGUCCAUUAAAGAAACAUAUAGGUUACAUAUAAUGAAAAGUCUCUCAUUUUAUUAAAACAUUUAACUCAUAAGUUAUGAAAGAUGAAAAGUUUUGAAAGUUACAAAACUUGCCCUCAAGUUUUGGAACAUGUAAAGUCAGUUUAAAAACUUUAGUUCCAACCCCUAGAAUUUUAAAAGUUAAAAUCCAACCCUUAUACUUUAUAAUAUUAUAAGUUAAUAAUAAUUAUAUAUGUAUAAGAAUAAGUCGUUUUACAGUUAGUAGGCCUCAUUCACGAAGCCGAUCUAUAAAGGGGUAUAAGGUUGCUGCCUAUAAAAUGGCAGUUUAAUAGGUGUCCACUCUCACCCACCGCUUCAUUGACUGGUGAAGGGUCGUUAGCCGAACGGGUAGGAUAGGNNNNNNNNNNNNNNNNNNNNNNNNNNNNNNNNNNNNNNNNNNNNNNNNNNNNNNNNNNNNNNNNNNNNNNNNNNNNNNNNNNNNNNNNNNNNNNNNNNNNNNNNNNNNNNNNNNNNNNNNNNNNNNNNNNNNNNNNNNNNNNNNNNNNNNNNNNNNNNNNNNNNNNNNNNNNNNNNNNNNNNNNNNNNNNNNNNNNNNNNNNNNNNNNNNNNNNNNNNNNNNNNNNNNNNNNNNNNNNNNNNNNNNNNNNNNNNNNNNNNNNNNNNNNNNNNNNNNNNNNNNNNNNNNNNNNNNNNNNNNNNNNNNNNNNNNNNNNNNNNNNNNNNNNNNNNNNNNNNNNNNNNNNNNNNNNNNNNNUUUUCAUGGUGGAAAUUGGUGAAUCGUCAUUCGCCUACCUUCAAAUAUUUUAUAGCUUGGAUUACAGCAUCCCUCUUCCAAGUUAUAAAAUAUUGUGUUGGGUCCUAGCCUUAAUAUUUCAUAUUGGGUGUUAUAUUAAGGACUUUAAAUCAACUAUCUUGAAUAUCUCCCAAAAGAUGUCUGGUUCAGACAAUUAUGAUCUUCCCAAAAUUCUUGGAAUAAGCUUUCCUAAUGAAGAUAAUGUCCCGUGACUGGAUCAUGGAAAUCAUCCUUCAAUUCCUCCACUUCCUCCAAUUAUUCUGCCUAACCCACAAGUUCAAGGUCACUCAAGCCCUAGUGGCAAGCAAGGUCUAUGUGUGAUCACAUCUUGGAAAAACUUCCAAAUCUAAUCAAGAAAAAAAAACAUAUAGUUCAUCGCUAGCACACGACUUGAGGUUUAUAACCUAUCGUGUUGACAUAUUCCUAUUUCUGUGCCCAUUCCAAUUAAAGUUGGCUUUGCAUAUGAGUUCUGAGAGUUCUCGAUUGGUUGCAUAACAACUUGGAAGCAAUGGCAGGCCCUUGAGCUGUCAGGUGGCAAGAAGUUAAGACUGCACAAGCUCAAUCCAUAAGAGUUNCAAAUUAGUGACAUUGGAAAUCCAGAAAGCUUUCUCUUCCCAAUGGAAAGGGAUCGGCCAUAAGAGAAAGGCUAAGUCUGAGAUAGUCCUGUGUACCAUUCCCAAAGGGUCCAUAUGGCUUUAUUGCCAAAAAGGAAGGGGCAUUGGUUACUAAGCCGCCCUAACUACCUGAAAGAUCUGAGAGAAGGUCUAGUCAGAAAGUUUGAUUCUGCUUCAGGUAAGUCCACUAUCUAACUUUGUUAAGUUCCUUAUUGAUGAUUCUUAAUAAAAAAUUUGGCUCGGUUACAUUUUGGUGUUUGGCAGAAUCAAGCAAAGGGAAGGACACUUAAAGAAAGAGUAUGUUGAAUCUGAUCGUGAAGAUGGAUUUCAAUCGCAUAGUUCGAAGAUCGGAUUCUUGAGCUACUAUUUAGGAGUUAUGAUAGAUUUCUAUGAAAUAUGUAAAAGCAUAGUUUUCAUUUAAAGCUGCAUUGUAUGGAAAAAGUUUUUCUGCAUUUUAUAAAUAAAUAAAUAAAAUUUUGAUUUUAUUUUAGUUUAUAUCUCCUUGCAUUGGCUUCUAUGGAAAAUUGAUGUUUCUAGCAAUAAUGGAAAUAUGAAUUUGAUUCUUUCAUUUGUGGUAGUGUCUAAAUUUACCAAAUAAGUAAAGAUUCUCAUCACCCAAGUCUCAAUUGGACCGAAACUUGGAAUCAUGCAAGUUGUAUAGCAUGAUGAAUGAGAACCUUCAGCUUUGGAAAAUUAAGACUAAUUCCUUGUUCAUAUUUAUAUGUGAGUCAAGUGAAGUCUAAGGGAUCAAUUACACAUUCUUGUGCACUGGUCAAGUCCACCAUAAAAGAUCGAUAAGAUUAUCUAUCAUGAUUUACUAAAGUUUAGUAAAUAUGGUUAUACUUACCAGUUUAAGUAUAAUUUUGAAACAUUGGAAAAUUUUCAAUGUUUUGCAGGACGAAUGGGAAGAAUCAAAUUAGGCAGAAGGAUAAAAGUUUCUCAAAUCUGAAAAGAUGGGACAGUACAUUAGUAUCAUGUUUAGUGAUCAUCUUAAUGAUUAAGAAACCAUAUAAAUAUUGGUUCUCUAAGGACAUCUUAGUGCAUUUCUAUGGCUAAGAAGAGGAAUCAAGAAUUGUUGAAGUGGUUAAAUCAAGAAGAUGAGUCAUACUUCGUUCCAAAACAAGUCUUAGAGUCAUACUCCAAGAUUUUAACUUGAGUGACAUAUAUUAAAGAAGGUUUAUUAACACUAGUCAAAUGUAAGAGUGAAAAGUGUCUUACUCUUGUACAUUUGAAAUUAGUAAGUUGUGAUGUUUUGGAUAAAACAAAGACCAAUUAAGGCCAAUUGUGUGAAGUGUUUGUCUUGAUAAAGAAUCCACACUAUCUCUUGAAUAUUUGGCAAGUGAGUCUUAUAUGUCAAGAGGACAGUGGGAGUGUUAUAGAUCUUGGAAAAACUUCCAGAUCUAAUCAAGAAGGAAAAAAACCUAUAGUUUAUCACUAGCACACGACUUGAGGUUUAUAAGCUAUCGUGUUUACAUAUUCCUAUUUAUAUGCCCAUUCCAGUUAAAGUUGGCUUUGCAUAUGAGUUCUGAGAGUUCUCAAUUGGAUGCAUAACAACUUGGAAGCAAUUGCAGUCCCUUGAGCUGCCAGGUGCCAAGAAGUUAAGUAUGCACAAGUUCAAUCCAUAAGAGUUUGGAUUUGUUACUAACUUUGUCUUAUGAUUAUGGUUUUGAAAAAUUCACAUGGAUAGUAACACAUACACCAGAAAAUCUAAGUGUCAUAAGGUUUCUCUCCGAUUCAUGAAAAUGAUGGCGAGGAAACGCUUUCACUAAGUAGAUUUUAAGUAGAUAGCAAUUGUGAUAUUUGCAUUCUCAAAGUCGUUAGUGGAGCGUAUGUGGUUAACCGACACACUAACAUGGACUUGUGAGAAAUGGAAAAGGUCUAAACAAUUGAGACUAUGAUUACGACAUCCCUUUUCAUAGUUCUAAAAUUGUUUAGACACACAUGUGUGCUAUCUAAGGAAAGGUGUAUGAUUUUGAUAAAGUUUUAUCAAUGCAUCUCGUAUAAGAAAUAUGAACUUUGGUAAGAAGGUGAAUAAAAUAUUGAUUUCUAGAAGUCCAGCAGAUUUCUGAAUACAUGUCAAAGCUAGUGGGAGCAUAAGCUUCAUGCUAAUAAUCAUCAUGCAAGUGGGAGCAUGAUAAUUAUAAUAAGUGUUGCAAGUUAGCAAUGUUAAUUAUAGAAAACAAAAGGUUUCAAUUGGGAAAAAAUUAUUUUGCUAUAAUUAAGGGAGAGGAAAUUAUACUUCAUUUCAAUUCUAAAAGCUUAGAUUGAAGUUUUAAUCAUCUUUAGUUAAUGAUAUAUAUGAAUUUUAUGUUGGAAUGACUUAACAUAAGGAAAUUCUAUAUAUGGUCCAUUAUUUGCGUUUUAAAAUUUGAUUAUGAUUACGACAUCCCUUUUCAUAAUCUGAAUUAUGAGAACUUGGCAAACAGAAAUAGAAAUAUUAUAGCAAAAGAUUGGUCUAGUAUCACAUCUUUAUGAAUUGUGUCCCAUAUGCUUCGAAUAUAAGAUCGAUUGCAUGUGCUACAAUAUUCAUCUGUUCUAAAUUUUUCCAAAUGCCCAGAGCGUUAAGAGGGAAAAAGUACUAGAAUUAGAUAUGACUAAUUUGAUUAAGCAAUUGUUGAUGACAAUCUCAGGUUUACCAAAGAUUGGUUGCUCAUGGGCAGUUAGAAAUAUAGUGUUAAUUUUGGAAGGACCAUAUUGACAUAUUCUGAAAAGAGGCAACUCUUGUUCAAGAGUAAUAGUCAAAAGGGGAAUAUGGAAAUAUUCUCAUAGGUGGAAGUUAUUCAUUAAAUCUGUGUAAGAUUAGGAAACUUAAUGCAAGAAGAAUGUUCAAAGGCAAUGAACUUUGAAUAUGAGACUUCGUUUCCAUGGAGUUGAUCUCCGUUGGAAUACUCUGUAAUGUCUGUUGACAAGUCUUUGUGACUUUGUGCAUAAUCAUUACAAGAGGACCAAUGCAUAUAAGUUUAGAAUCUAAUGGAUUUUGGUAAAUGGCAGGAAUUUGGAAUUCUUGCAUUUGCGGUAAUGAUUUGGGAUUGUGAAAUGAGUAUCAUUGGAAUUAUGUUCAAUCGAUCUAUUUCAUAUAAUAAAGAUCAUAGACAAACUUAGUGUGCAUACUUGGUGUAUGGCAACUAAUGUUUGGAAAACAUAGUGUGCAUACUUGGUGUAUGGCAUGACUAGUGUUUAGAAAAAAACCAUAGUGCACAUGCUUGGGGCAUGGGACAACUAUUGUUUUAAUUCAAGUAUAAAGUUGAUAGUUUGAAACAGUAUACAAUGAAUGAUGGAUAAUCAAUAUGGUGAUAAAUAAAAGAUGUUUUAUUUAUAUUCAUAAGUUCUGAAACCAUAUUGGAUUCGAUUAUUCUUGUGUUUCACUUUGCAUGUUUUGACUUCCAGAAUAACUAAGUCGCUUUUCCUGAAUGACUAAGUUAUUCAAACCAUCCACAGUCGGUCAUAUGUUGGAAGUAGAUAUGAAUUAAGACUGUCAUGGGUUGGCUUGUAGAGGUCUAAGAUGUUGGACAAAGGGGUACAACACUCAUGAGUGCUCAUAAGUUCUGAGUAUUGGAUUCAACCCGCGCUCAUUGGAAUCACUUCNGAUAUCUGGGCCCCUCAAUGAUUUUGUGUUGACCCAUGUACCGGGCCCGGUCAGAACUAAGUUGAUGUGUUCAAAUAAGUUCUAUGUCAAACAAAUCGGAAAUCAAGAAACAAAUUGCUGGACAAUAAGUAAGACAUUGUUCCAUGUAUUUGUCCGGCUGAUAUCUAGAACAGAGGAUUAUAUGAUUACUUAUCUUAAAUGGAGUAUCAUCGUCAUCUCAGUUUCGCAAGACCUUGAAAGUGCUACGAUUGCUGAUCGGUUCCUAAAGUUAUUCUUGCAAAUAUAGUUAUUAGACUUAUCCAAGUGGGAGACUAUUGGAUUAGGUGUCUAAGUUCAUAACUAUUCUGGAAUGUACUUGACCCGAUUAGCAUGGUCCAUUUGGGUUGCAUGACAUCAUGCAGUUGGAUAGACCAAAAUGAGUGAAAUAAUACUUAAGGUUGUUAAUAUAUUAUAAGUUCUAAUAUAUUAAUAAUAUUAAUUAAUUAGUAUUGAUCAAGAAUUAAUUUUGUAUUAAUUAAGUGAUCAAAAGAAGACUAAUUAAAUAUAUGGGUUGAUUGUGAGAAUUACCCAAUACUUGUAUAGUGGGCUAAUACUCCAUGGAUUAUCAAGUUGGGCUAAAACCCAUAAGAUGCUCCAUGGUGUCUUUGAACCCAUGGAUCAUGGAAAUUAAUAGUCAUGUCAAUUAGGGUUUACUUGGUGUAACCCUAAUUAUGACACACUAUAUAGGCAACAUGGUGUAACCCUAAUUAAAAGUUCCCUAUGUAUGCUAGAUAGGUUAUGAACCUUGGAAAAUCAAUUUUGCAUGUAUCAUAGUAAAACAUAGAUCCAAGGUUUCCAGGGUUGCAUGUACACCUUAGGAGUGUUAUAAUGCUCAAAACCCCAACGAUCAUAAGGUUCAGGGCCUUUGGAGAAGAGAAAUCCAGACCCAUUUAGGUAUGGAUAAAGUAAUUAAGGUUAUUCGGGAGCUGGAUUGUGUCUUGGAGCUGGAGGGUGUAUCGGUAAAGUGGCAGUUCGAGCUCUUUAUGGAUUUUGGGUUUUAUUCGGAAGGCUUUAAGGCUUGGGCGUAUUAUUAGGAGCGUAGGUCUUCUUGCCACCUCUUCGUGGAUAUAAGGUUCGCCAGGAACGGACCUCAGAUGAGGAAGAUAUGACACUUUGAAGUUAUUGGCAACAUUGUUCCCUAAUGGAAAAGAGUGGCAAGAAGAUACCAUGCAUGCAAGGUGGCCAGCAUGGAAGUACGCCCAUAGUAAGCUGGGGGUAUGCCCAACGUAGAGGACUUAAUGGACGCGUAUGUCGGAGGCGUACGCCCAUCGUACUUUUAGAGUCCCUAAACCCUAAUUUUUUAGGUUAUGCACUAUAUAAAGAACAUUAUGACUCAAAUCCUAGCCUCCUUACCAACUUCUUAACCUCGGAAACCCUAGAGAGCCUCUCAUCCUUCAUCCUUGUGUGUUUUUGGCUUUGUGAAAUUCUUGGUGGUGUUUAGAAGCUUGAAAGAAGAAAGGAGAAGUUGGAGAAGAAGAGCUUGAGUAUCUUGAGCUCAAGGAUCUGAGUUUACAUCACUAUUUGGCACUCAUUGGAGUUAAAAAUCUUUCAACUUGCCUCAUGAAUGCUUAGAUCUAUGUUAAUGGAGUUUUAGACCUCCUUAGGUCCCAAGAAUGGAUUUUUAUGAUUCAAUUUCGUUUCUAGGCUUAGGGAUGCCACCCUUAGUGCUAAAUGUGUCCCAAUAUCAUUAAAGGUUCGAUCUUUAAGAUCCUUUUGUGACCAUGAAUGAGUUCUAGUCAUUUCCAUGAAAGUUAGUUGCUAUAUUCAAAGUUUGGGUCCAAUUGUUGGGUUGCAAGCCACCAUUUAAUCGACUUUGUGGAUUAAGACGUUGAAGAGGACUUGGAUCUGUGAUUAUAGCUUUGGAAUAUAGUAUUAAGUGCUUAAUGGGAAAAGUGGUUUAACAGAGCAGUACGUUGUUCGUACAUGCAUGUACGCGGAGCGUACAAGCCAUACAGUUAUACGCUCAGCGUACAAAAAAGUACGCCCCGCAUACUCAACAGAUGUGGGUUUUGCGUGUUUUGAGCCUCAGUUUGGGCCAUAAAUUGGACAUUGUUUCUUUGGGCCGUCAUACGUCAGAUAUUUUGGGCUUAGAAUAUUUUUUGGCUUUAGGGUUAGGCCCAUUACAGGGGUUGGGCCCAAUUUAGCAAAUUAGGCCAUUAGUGGGCCACUAGUGGGCUUGGGAAGUCUAACUAGUAUUGGGCAUUUAUGUUGGGUUUUGAGCAUUCUAACACUCCUAAAGUGUUCAUGCAACCCUAAAUACCUUGGAUCUUUGUUUUCACUAAUUAUACAUGCAAUGGUGUUUCCAAGGUAUUAAACCUAUAACUAGCAUACAAUUGGCAUAUACCACACAAGAAUCUAGUUAGGAUAACAUACCUUAUGGUGGAGAUUGAAGUCUUGAUAUAUCUAGCCUUAAGAGCUUAGCCCCAAUAGUGUGGAAGCCUCAAGUGGAAUCACAACACAUUAAGGACAAAGGUAGGACUUGAGAGAGAAUCUCCAUGCACUCUAAAACCUUCAUGAACUCUAAGAACAUGCGCACACACUAGGGUUGGCGGUUUAAGGUCAUCAUAUAUGUAUUUAUAUGUGUUGAAUACUAAGAGUCAUGGGUAUAACCCAAACCCAUACCCAUUGGUAUUAUGAUCCAUGGUUUACAUGGUCCAACUCUUUAUGUAUCCAUACAUAAACUUGGUCCAGCAUGGAUUAUAAGCCCAACACAUAUAAAUAUAACUAUUUACCAUAAUUAGUCCCCAUAGAUUCAAUUAGUAUCUUUUGAUCACUAAAUUAAUUCCAAAUUAAUUCUUGAUCAACACUAAUUAAGACAUAUGAUUUCAUAUUAAUAUAUUAGAACUUAUAAUAUAUUAAUAAAUCAUAUAUAACCUCUUCUCUCAAAAGUCCAUCCUAACAAUUGUCCUGAUGAUAUGCAACCCAAAUGGACCAGGCUACUCUCGGGUCAAGUACAUACCAAUAAUAGUUAUGGGCUUAGACAUCUAAUCCAACACUUUCGUAUUAUGGUUUUGGGCCUUAGGUUGAGGCCUAUGUGAAGGGAUUGGGAUCAAUUGGAAAUUAGGCCAUAUAUUGGGACUUGUGGAAGUGUUUAUCUUUUGGGCCAAGGUUUGGGUAGAGUUUAAUUUGGGACAAGAGUAUGCGAGGGGUAGAAUGGUAUUUUACCUCAGUGAGGAUUUAUGGUUAAGUUAUGAGAAUCUUGGACUUAUCUAAUUUGUGUGAUGAUCAGUAACUCGAGGAGUUGAGAGAUCAGCAAUUCGGGGAUCUACCAGCUAGCAGCCAAAGGUUUAUCCGUGGGAUUCUGCAGUCAGCUUGUGAGGUGAGUUUUUUUUCUAGUAGGAACGGGUCGAAGGCACCAAUGUCGUCCCGUUUAUAUAUGUUAGUAUGUUUUGGACUUAGGUCCAAUGUUGGGCGGUGCCCAAUGAAUGUUUGUAUGCUUGAUAUCUUCGUGAUUCUUGCAUGUGUUUGUUUUAUAUGUUUCCAGACUUCGGUCCGAUGCUGGGGAAAGCCCGAGGAAUGUUUGUAUGCCUCCGAAUUUUGGCCCGAUAUCGGGCGAGGCCUGAGGAAUGUUUACAUGUAUGUUUCCAAGCUACGGUUCAAUGACGGGUGGUACUCGAUGAAGGAAUGCAUGUUUAGUUAUACUUGCAUGUCGUCUUUGUGAUAUUUGUAUGUGCCUGGUAGGGAGGUGAGUGUGGGUGGGGUCCCAUAUCUCAUCACUACCUGAGAGUGGACGGGGUUCCAUAUCUCACCAUUAGCAGAGUAGGGGAGGGGCCCAUGAUAGUCGAGGCCUUAAUCCUAGAAUAUAUAGUGUUGUGUAUGAUUCUUUAUGUACUAGCAUGAUUAUAUGUUAUUGUUUGUAUGUGUAUAGCAGGCGGGGCCCAAAGACAGGCGGGGUCUGGUAGAAACAAACUUGUAUACCGAGCGGGGCUUGAUGCCAGGCGGGGCCUGAUGUCGAACUCUGUCCGAUGCCGGGCGGGAACCGAGGAAGGGUUGGGGCCCAUUUUAUGUGAUUAUGUGAUUAUGUGUAUGGUAUAUGGUAGUUUGGGGAGACUCACUAAGAUUCAUGCUUACAAUUUUCCAUUUUGGUUUCAGGUACUUCUGGUAGCAAAUGGAAGAGCUUGGGAUGACUACAAUGCACACACACCAUGUUUUUAGCCUGGGAUGUUUUUACUCUGAUAUGUUUUGAUAGAUGUUUAUGAUAUUUUGAGAAACAAUAACUUAUGAUUUUCAUGUGAUGUUUGGUAGCUAUGGUUUAACUAAUAAUUAAAAUCAAAUUUUUGGACCAUAUUUUUGGGAUGUUUCAUUACCCAACUCCAUGUUUUUUCAAGUUUCAUGGAAAUUGAGUUCCUCGAAUCGGUGGAACACUCCACACUUCCGCUACCUCUUGACUUUCUUGCGAUACUUACAACACAAGAUCACAAGGGAGCCGGGAAAAUGGUGUUGGAAUAGUGUCUAAGGCUGCAACUAUAUUAGGAAAGUAUUUGACCCGAUUGUGCAUGGUCCUUUUGGGUUGCCUUCACCAUAGCAACUUGACAGGAUGAUUUAUUAUGAGAGAAUAAAUAUUAUUAAUAUAUUAUGAGAAUAAUAUAAGGAAUAAUAAUAUUGUUAUUUGAUUAAUAUAAUUCAUAA